AACGCCUCUUUUUUUUUUUUUUUUUUUUUUUUUUUUUUUUUUUUUUUUUUUUUUUUUUUUUUUUUUACUUUUAACGUCCAACGGUUAGCUGAAAAAGUGCUAUUUAAAAACUGAGAAUUUUAUUAUGUGGCCCUGCUUUAUGACCGUUAGUGAUCCCCACCACAAACUCCAUCAUUGACGCAGCCAACUCCGGCACAACUCCCUCUAUCAUCCAACGGUCCAAAUACUCUUUCACUUUUCUUUAUUUCUUUCUCUUUUCUCCAACUAAAGUUCUAAUUCUAAUCACAUUUGAUAUUUGCACAAAAAAAAAAAAAAAAAAAAAAUCACAUUUGAUAUUAUUAGCAUUAAGGGACUAAUAAACAUAUAAAAAUUUAUGAUUCUUGACAGAAAAGGUUGAUAACAUUUAACUAUUAAUUGGAGCACACAAAAAAAACAUUUAACUAUUAAAUCUUUAUAUAAGUUAGAAGACAAUUCAGAAAACAACUAGUAUAAUAUUUACUAAGUUCACACUUUUUUUAUCAAAUCCAACGGUCCAAAGAUUCGUGUACUAAUCCACUUCGGAUAUUAAAAUUGGAUUAGAAAAAGUGUGUAAACUUUAAAUAGAGACAAAACUAAAAACUGAGAAGAAAACGGAUACUUGUAGCUUUUAUUUAACUUUAAUUAUCCCCUUCAUUACAAAAAGACCGUUACGAUAUAUAUAAAAGUCUUCGUUCACACACAGUAUCGAAGAAAACAACAACAGUUUUGAUCACUCUCUCUCUUUACUUCUUCUUCCCAAGCUUUUGAUGGCCGAAACCCUAGAACCCUCCCUCGUCGGGGAAAUCGACACUUCUGCACCAUUCGAGUCCGUGAGAGAAGCCGCCACUCGCUUUGGCGGAUUUGGUUUCUGGAAACCUUCUUCCCUUAACAUCUCUGAAGCUUCUCAGGUCUUAGUUCUCUCUUUCUCCCUCAAAGUCUCUGUUUUCUUCUCAUUGAUUUUGUCCAGCUCUUUGCUUUUAGGGUUUCUAAUUGAAAUGGGUCAUUAGAUUCAUCAAUUUUUAGAAAGUUCUUGUCUUUAGUUGUUUCUUCUGAUGCGAAAGUUUGAAUUUUUUUAUGGUUGCAGAACGAAGUGGAUGACGUAGCUGGUAUGGUGGCGAAAGCGAGUGAGUUAGAGAAGGAACUGAUUGCUAAAGAAGGAGAAACUUUAAAGGUGUUGAAGUCACUCGAGUCCACCAAAGCGAUCGUUGAAGAGCUUAAAUCAAAGCUACAGAACAAGGAAGAGAAAGAAAACUGUGACAUGAAUGUUUUCAAGGAAUUGAAUCAAGCGAAGAUGAAUCUGUGCAAGACAACUAAAGAUUUGGCAGCUAUUCGUGAGUCUGUUGAGUUACUGAACAAGAGACUGGAAGAGGAAAGAGCUGCACUUGAGAAGACACGAGAGAGACUUAACUCUGAGAAUGCAGCUGAAAUGUCCAAGGAGAUUCAGAGACUAAGUUAUGAAGCUAAGGAGUUUAGUAGAACAGGAGAGAAUGCUCGUUAUGCGGUUGAUAAAGCUGUGGUUGAGAUUGAACAAACGAGAAACAAGAUUGAAGCUGCUGAGAUGCGUUUGAUCGCUGCUAGAAAGAUGAAGGAAGCUGCUAGAGCGGCUGAAGCAGUUGCAAUCGCUGAAAUCAAGGCGGUUACUAGAAGAGGAAGAAGAAGAAGAAGAAGAGGAAAUGAUGAGGAGACGAUGCAUGAGGAGAUUCUUGAGACGAUUCAAGAAACAGCUAGAGAAAUCAGAAGCAGUAGGAGGACACUUGAAGAAGGUUUGGAGAAAGUGAAUAUCACGAAAAUGGAAGCAGAAGAAGGAAAAUGGCGGUGGACAGAACAGAGGAGGAGAUCAUCAUGUUCGGCCAAGUUCAAGAACCCUUUUAUGAUGGAUGUAAAUGGUCUUAAUAUGAUGAUGAAUGGUGAUGGGACCUCGUCCUCAGUUGCUGUCUUGAAACCAACAAUGUCGAUUGGGCAGAUACUCAGUAGGAAACUACUUCUUGCGGAUGAGUCGGCGAUGAUGAUGAACGGGAGAGUUUCGUUGGGUCAGAUUCUUGGAAAGACUAACUUUGGAGAUAGAAAUGGUCAAGGGAAGGAGAAGGAAAAAAGGUUGAAUGGGAAGAGGAAGCGGUUUGGAUUCGCAAACUUGUCUGUGAUGCUGAAUAAAGAGAGUAAGAAGAAGAAUAAGAAGAAGAAGAUAGCUUUGAACUUAAUGUGAUGAGUGAGUGAGUGAUUGGAAUGGUCUUAUCUUUAUCUUUUUUUCUUAGGAGUUGUUAGGUGUUUUCCUGCAGUUGUAAGCAAUUGUGUUUCUAUUUGUUUUCAAAUUAAGUGGAUUAGAGAGUCUCACUUUAGCACCAAUUACUACCAAAGUUGUUGUGUCAUGAAUGAUUUUGAGAAGAUAAAACAAACAUAUGAAAUCUUUGAGAUGGACUUGUUCUUGCAGGAAGCUAGCAAUGUUUCUGUAGCAGAUUAGGUGUUUUAGUGUUGGCUCUUUGUUGGGUGAUGUGUUAAAAACUGUAAUAGAAAAAACCAAAGUCUUAAUUAUGCUGUUUUGAAGAAAAAGAAAAAACAAACCAAUAAAUAGGGAACGUUAUAAAUAGUCUGAAACAAGACCUGUAGACUAAAACAACUUCUUCAAGAAAACAUUUUCGGCUUCUACGUGGGGUUUCUCACCUUCUUCUGUGAUAAGAACUUGGGUCAAACCAGUUGCGGCCUUAACUUUGGAUAUGGCAAGAAACCUUUGUCCAGGAGGGGACAGUACUUGUUUUGGUAGAUAUAGACCAACUUUGGAAAAUGUUUGGCCUCGACUCUGAUCUAUAGUCAUGGCGAAUGCAAGUGUGAAAGGAUACUGGGUACGCCGCAUUGGGGUAAAAAAACCUUUCUCAGAGAACAUGUGCAUCUUUUCGAUCAGGAAUUCCUGGGGACGAGGACUACGUUGUGAUGUUGCAAAUCUGGUCACAAGCAUAGAAUCACCCAACUGAAGAAUUUGAAGUCUAGUCCCAGUACUUAACCCACGGCUAGGAUCAACGUCAGCAAGUAACAUGAUGGGAGCACCAACCUUGAGUCUCAAAAUCUGGUUAGGCACUCCGGGGACUGUGACGCUACUAAACAUACUUGAAAUUAUUAACAUGUAAUCGACUGGGCUUGGGGUAUCCUCAUCCUCCGGAACUAGGCAGUCAUCGCAGUGAGAUAAUAUCUCUUUACCUUUAUGUGAUGAUAUGAAACCAAGUCGUAGUUAUAGUAUGUGCAGAAAAUGGUGGCUAUAGUUUAGAAAAAACCGGAUUUUACCUGGUAAUUGUGAAAGCAUAUAGGCAUUAAUCUGAUCCACAUCAGAUUGAGUAUGACACAAAAUAACCGUGUCGCGGCAAUAGGAAUAGUAGGAGGACUGUUCACGAAAAGAGUCUCCAUAAACUUGGCUCACUAUUGUUACGAUAGGAUCAGGGCACUCAAUUAGCGACGCAUUUUCAGGGAUAUCAAUAUCAGCGUGAUCUCCAUCAUUAAUCUUUUCAUCAUUAAUAUCCUUAUUCCAUUCAGUUUGGACUAGGCCUGGGCACAUAAUCCAAAUCCGAAAAAUUCGAUCCGAACCGGUUUCGGUUUUUUAGUAAAACUCGUUCGAAUUUCAUGUAGAAUGAGAUUCGGGUUUCAAUUCGGAUCGGAUUAUAACUGAAAUCCAAUCGGAUAUCCACUAAACCAAAACAAUACAUAAAUAUUAUUAGUUUUAUGUCAAUUCGGAUCGGAUACUUCGGAUAUUUUGAGUUUGAUCGGAUAAAUCAUGGGUAAUUCCGAUAUCUUGGAUGAUUUGGAUCGGGUUAUUCGGAUAUUUCGGAUUUGAUCAAAUAAUUCGGAUCCAAAUCCGAACCGAAACCGAAUUUAUUUAUGUUUCGGUUACACUUCGGAUUUUCGAAAAAAAAUUGUGAACCGAUCCGAAUGUUGGAAAGACUAACUUUGGAGAUAGAAAUAGUGAAGGGAAGGAGAAGGAAAAAAGGUUCUAUGGGAAGAGAAAGCGGUUCGGAUUUGCAAACUUGUCUGUGAUGUUGAAUAAAGAGAGUAAGAAGAAGAAGAUAGCUUUGAACAUAAUGUGAUGAGUUAGUGAUUAAAAUGGUCUAAUCUUUGUCUUAUGGUGAUCAAUUGUGUUUUUCGAUGUGCAUUGGUUAUAUGCUAAAUAUUGAAAUGAGAUUUGAUUUUGUUUUACAAGAUUUGUUAUAUUCUUUAUGCUAAUUCCAAAGUCCAAACUAAUUGCAUAUUGGAAGAUAAUAGCCACAUGCCGGUGAGAUGACGUGGAAGAUAAUAGCUUGUAGUGUGAAAAUACCUCAUUGACCUUUCGACAAUCCACGCAAUCGACUAAUUCCACGGAUCUGCUUACGCAUUGAUUCUUGAUAACCCUCUUCUUCUUCUCCUACACAUACCAGAUUCUACCAAUCAUUUGCUCAAAAAGGUAAAAUCUUUCUCUACAAUUUCGAUUGAAUCUUUUUUAUUUCGAUAUAUCUCUCGUAAAGAGUCUUACUUGAAUCUUCUUUCUGAUCUUUUGUUCUUUAUCAGGAAUCAUGGGUCUUAAAGCUGGAACCUUUGUGCUUCUCUUGUUGGGUUUGAUCUUGGUUUCUGACGCUAGAUCUUUUGUUGACUCCACCCUCUCAGGUAAGAAAUUAGACAAAAUUUAGUACUCAUGCUUGAUUGUAUAGAAGCUUGCUCUUUAGGGUUAAAGUUUGAUACUUUUAAUGAAAUAGUUUGUUUUUAUGGGCUGGAAAUGAUGAGGUAGUUGUAUAUUUCAACAACCCAAGUUCUCCUAAAGCUAAAAGAAUGGCUCAGACUCAGAUAGUCUUAUUUUGAGUAGAAGUUUUAAGACUAUUCAACUUUUCUUUUGCCUUUGUGUAGAAAAAGUUUCCAACAAGGAAGAUGUUUGCACUCUGUGUGAGGAAUAUGUUACUGAUGCUCUCAGCUACCUUGAGAAAAAUGUCACACAGGCGGAGAUUAUUGAGGAUCUUCAUGAUCGGUGUUCCCAAUUGCGCGGAUUUUCGCAGCAGGUUCUCUCAUUCUGCUGAUGCUGAACCUUACACUUGGACUGUUUGUUUUGUUAUAUCAACUGUGUUGAAUAAAUAGUAUGUUUUUUAUUUGAUGCAGUGCAUAACUUUGGUUGAUUACUAUGUUCCUCUCUUCUUCUUACAACUGGAGUCGUUUCAACCUCACUAUUUCUGCAAGAGGAUGAAUCUUUGUGGCAAAGUUGUAGCUCUUGUCGAAGAAGUCCGUCAGGACAGUUGCGGUGUAUGCCACAGGACUGUUUCAGAGAUUCUCAUCAAACUACAAGAUCCCGAUACACAGGUUAGUAGUAACUACAAGAUGAUGACUUUAUGUCUUCUAUCACAGGUUUUAUUUUGUCAUUUAUGCAUUCUGUGUUAUAGACUCAUAGCACUCUGAUUAAGUCAUAACGUAAGAGUACCCACUAUCACAGUGCAAGCUGCUAUGCCCUCGUGUAGUCGUGUUUGUGUUGUUAUUACGUUCUAAAUUCACUCUAACUGAAAAAAUAGUUUAAAUAUCAGGGCCCCUGAUUCAGGGAUUUUUGUAAACAAUCCUCGUGAAGACUUUUCUUUUAUACUGAUGAUGAGUUUUAUAUACUGACUUUGUGUUCUCGUGAUUAUCUAGCUGGAUAUCGUUGAACUGCUUCUCAAGGGAUGCAAAUCACUCAAGAACUACGAGAAGAAGGUUAGAAUGAUCAACUCAAAUCCAUAACAUCGCCUUUACGUGUUUGCAAAUUAACCAUUUCAUUUUACUUUUUCUGUUGAUGUUCUUCUCGAACUUGUGCAACACAAUUGCAUGAUCACAUACGUAGUAGUUAGCUUAGGUUUUUCUGAUUUUACUGUGUUGUGUCUUGUGUUAUUACAGUGCAAGACGUUGGUAUUCGAAUAUGGACCUCUGAUCCUCGUAAAUGCAGAGGAAUUCCUAGUGAAAAACGACGUCUGCACACUCUUACGCGCAUGUCCGGCUGAGAAAUCGGUUCUAAGGCAGCCAGAGUUGGCGGAUUCUUGAAUGUUAAAAACGUUGCCAUAGCAGGACUUAAUUCCUUAUAAGUAGGAACACGAGCUGCUCCAUAAGAAUGGUUGCAGACUUUGUGUAGUGUCUAUAUGUAUGGAUUCAAACACACCCUCCAAAUGUCUCUUUGCGUUUGUGUAAAUAAUGAUCGCUACAACAAUUGUACCUCUACCAUGAUAUCACUGUAUUCUAUUUCAGGUUUGUUACAUUUUAUAAGAAUGAUAUUUUUUUAUGUUUCUAUCUCACCGCUGGUGUUUGACUGUUUUCAAUUCAUUUUUGGCAAAAAACCUUUGGUAAGUUUGUGUUGUGUUGGAAUUAACAACUCUUCCUUUUAGCCUUGUAGAGGAUUUAUCUACACAAAAUUAUGUGUUUCAAGAAUAAAACCAUGUUUGUUUUUUGGCAGUUGCUGAUGGCCGCCAAAUCUAAAAUCUGAGACGCUCAAAUUAUUAGCGUUUAAAAUUUAAUUACUUAAACCCAAAAUCAAAAAGGAUUUUUACAUAGAUACACCAGGAUUAUUAUCUAAAAAGCCAUUUUUGCUCAACCAUUUUUUAAAAUUGCCAUUUUCUCAACAUUCUUUCAAAUUUGCCAUUUUUGCCAUUUUUAAAAACUAAAAAUUUGGAAAAAUAAUUUCAUAAAACAUAUACUUUAUAACAAAAACUAUACCCUACAAAAAACUGGAACUUAAUAAACCCAAGCAUUAUGUGUAAAUUUGUGUUUUUGUUUACAAAAAAAUGGCAAUUUUCAAAUUUUUUUGAUAAAAUGGCAAAUUCUAUAAAAGCCAUCAAAAUAAGUCCUUUAUUCGUAAUUGAUUCUAGAUACACCAAUAUCUCUAUAGUGUGCCCCACGAUAUUGGUACUAGGACUGACGUGGCCAAAAGUGUCUCAAGAUUUGACCAAGUCAUAUAAGAUUAGUGAAUUCCAUUGGAAUAAUUAUAAUUUGAUGCCCCAACGACUCUCGCCUCUCGAGACAUUUUUAGUAAUAAUGAAUGAUUAAAAACGGUCGAAAUAACUUUAUAGCCGUUGGUCUUGGUCAUGUUUCUCUCGCUUACCGUUUUUUUGGCGCAGGACCAACAAGUAAAAACUAGCCGUUACCCUUACAAUAAACAUAAACUAAACACUUUGUCUUUGUCUUCUUCCUCGUCACUCCAACCAUAAUUAGUCUUUUGCUACAACACUCACUCACUCACUUGUUCAUUUCCUCUCUCACUAAAAAUUAAUCUUCUCUCUCUCUCUCUCUAUCUCUAUCUCCAAAAAACAGAGGAAGCAGAACAACCCAAGAACUCAAGCUCCCUGCUCUUCUCAUCUUUCUUCUACGUUUUCUAUUUUUUUUUCUUCUUUACUCUUUGAUUCUUUUGAAAUGAAUCAUCUUUUCAAAAACCCAUUUCGGAUUUAUGAAAUUAGUUUCCAUUUCUGCAUGAGUCUCCUCUUGUGUUUCUUACUCUUCUCUGCUAGAGCUGUUGCAGGUGGUGGUGGUGGUGGUCACUCUUGGGAUGGAAUCGUGGUGACUCAAGCGAACUAUCAGGCACUCCAAGCAAUCAAACACGAACUCAUUGACUUCACCGGAGUUCUCAGAAGCUGGAACAACUCUGCCUCCUCUGAAGUUUGCUCUGGCUGGGCUGGAAUCAAAUGCCUCCGAGGUCAAGUGGUCGCCAUUCAGCUCCCUUGGAAGGGACUUGGUGGCACUAUCUCCGAAAAGAUUGGACAGCUUGGGAGUCUCAGAAAACUUAGCCUCCACAACAAUGUUAUCGCCGGUUCGGUUCCUCGUUCCCUUGGCUACCUCAAGAGCUUGCGUGGAGUCUAUCUCUUCAACAAUCGCCUCUCCGGUUCCAUCCCAGCCUCACUGGGUAACUGCCCUCUUCUCCAGAAUCUUGAUCUUAGCAGUAACCAGCUAACUGGAAUCAUCCCAACUAGUCUUGCUGAAUCCACGAGGCUCUAUAGGCUCAAUCUCAGCUUCAAUUCACUGUCCGGUCCCCUUCCGGUUAGUGUAGCCAGAGCAUAUACCCUCACUUUUCUCGAUCUUCAGCAUAACAACCUCUCUGGUUCGAUACCCAACUUUUUGGUUAAUGGCUCCCACCCUCUCAAAACGUUGAAUCUUGACCAUAAUCUCUUCUCUGGAGCUAUUCCUUUGUCUCUCUGCAAGCAUGGUCUGUUGGAAGAGGUUUCUUUAAGCCAUAACCAGCUCUCAGGUUCUAUUCCCAGAGAAUGUGGAGCUCUUCCACACCUCCAGAGCCUUGAUUUUUCUUACAAUUCAAUCAACGGAACCAUCCCAGACAGUUUCUCCAACCUUUCAUCUCUGGUUUCACUAAACCUCGAAAGCAACCACCUCAAAGGCCCAAUCCCAGAUGCCAUUGAUAGACUGCAUAACAUGACAGAGCUUAACAUCAAGAGAAACAAGAUCAAUGGGCCAAUCCCAGAGACAAUAGGGAACAUAUCUGGAAUCAAACAGCUUGAUCUGUCAGAAAACAACUUCACAGGUCCAAUCCCGUUGUCACUAGUCCACCUGGCGAACCUUUCUUCAUUCAACGUCUCCUACAACACCCUCUCUGGUCCUGUUCCACCUAUUCUCUCCAAGAAGUUCAACUCAAGCUCUUUCGUGGGGAACAUUCAGCUCUGUGGCUACAGCUCCUCAAAGCCAUGCCCUUCUCCAAAACCUCAUCAUCCUCUCACCCUUUCACCGACCUCAUCACAAGAACCAAGAAAACACCACAGAAAACUCUCGUUGAAAGACAUAAUCCUAAUCGCCAUCGGAGCUCUUCUAGCCAUCCUCCUUGUAUUAUGCUGCAUACUCCUCUGCUGUCUGAUCAAGAAACGAGCCGCCUUGAAACAAAAAGAUGGAAAGGAAAAGACAUCAGAGAAGACAGUAUCUGCAGCUGCUGCAUCAGCUGGAGGUGAAAUGGGAGGCAAGCUGGUUCAUUUCGAUGGUCCAUUCGUGUUCACCGCCGAUGAUCUCCUCUGUGCCACAGCUGAGAUCAUGGGGAAAAGUACUUACGGCACAGCAUACAAAGCCACAUUGGAGGACGGAAAUGAAGUCGCUGUGAAGCGGCUGAGAGAGAAAACAACCAAAGGAGUCAAAGAGUUCGAAGGAGAAGUCACAGCUUUAGGCAAGAUUCGUCACCAGAAUCUGCUUGCACUAAGAGCUUACUACUUAGGACCUAAAGGAGAGAAGCUACUCGUCUUUGACUACAUGUCAAAAGGAAGUCUCUCUGCGUUUCUUCACGGUAAGCAAAAAAAACCCUAACUCUGGAUUUGAUAAAGUUGACAUUUUUAUUGAUCUGACAUAUUGAAUUUAACAGCUCGAGGACCAGAAACCCUAAUUCCAUGGGAAACAAGAAUGAAGAUAGCAAAAGGAAUCAGUCGUGGUUUAGCUCACCUUCACAGCAACGAGAACAUGAUCCAUGAGAAUCUCACAGCAAGCAACAUUCUCCUCGACGAACAAACCAACGCACACAUCGCCGAUUACGGUCUCUCAAGGCUCAUGACCGCCGCCGCCGCCACAAACGUAAUAGCAACCGCCGGAACAUUAGGAUACAGAGCACCGGAGUUUUCAAAAAUCAAGAACGCAAGCACUAAGACCGAUGUCUACAGCUUAGGGAUCAUCAUAUUGGAGCUCUUGACUGGGAAAUCUCCAGGAGAGCCGACGAAUGGGAUGGAUUUGCCUCAAUGGGUAGCUUCGAUUGUGAAAGAAGAGUGGACUAAUGAAGUUUUUGAUCUGGAGCUCAUGAGAGAGACUCAAAGCGUUGGUGAUGAGCUUUUGAAUACUCUGAAAUUGGCUUUACAUUGUGUUGAUCCGUCUCCGGCGGCGAGGCCAGAAGCUAAUCAGGUGGUGAAUCAGUUGGAGGAGAUUAGGCCGGAGACUGAAGCGGAGAUGGAGACGACGCUGAUUGGAUCUGGUGGUGAAGGAGGUAAAGAUUUAGGGUCAAACGAGGAUUAAAGGAAAGUUUUGGGGGUUUUUAUGGAAGAAGAAUAAAAAAGAAGGGACCUAUAUACAAAUACCACAUUUUUUAUUUUCAUUAAUAUUCUUUGAUUCAAGUAAAUGUAGAUAAAAAUGGUUUGAAGUUUGUGCUAGUACUGUAAUGUAAUUUGAUUAUUCAUUCUUUUUUGGUUGAAGAAGUAAUACAAUAAUUGAUUUUGGAAUUUACUUAUUUUCUGUGAUGUAGUGUAAUUUUGAUUGUUUUUUUUGGUUAAAAGAAGAGAAGAAAAUGUUACCAAACUUCAAACACACAACCAUUUUUCAGAGAGUAGUGGUAAAAAAUGAUGAAACAAAUAUAACAGUAAAUAGUUUGUGAGUCGGGGAUGCUCAAAGAAGAGAGAUUAUAAAUGGAUUUGUUGUUGGUUUUAAAAUAGAACUAAGAGAUCUCUAAAACGGCUUUUUAGAUAUAAAUAGAACAGAUAACAAAAAUAUCUUUUACAAAAGUCUCUUCUAAACCAUUUCACCUUUGUCUUCUCUAAUAUAACAUCAAUAGUUCAGUCACUGAUAAUAAUCGAUAUAUAAAUUUAUGGGUUGACACAACAGAUCCAUCGAAAACGUCGAUGUUUAGCUUUGGUUUCAGUUAGGAUCUCAGCUUCAGGUUCGAUUUCAGGUGUAAUUUGUGUCUCAGCUUCAGGUUCAGUUUGAAUCUCGGCUUCGGGUACAAUUUCGAUCUCUACCUCAGCCUCAACCAUGUUGGAUUCGUGGUCAUCUUGUGAAGCACGAAAAUAAACAUCAAACAUCUUCCACAACUUAAAGAGGUCGGCGGGUCUCGGCUCAACAAGCACUAAUUUGUUGAAAAUUUCCACUAGGACGUCACUUUUUCCUGGAAUAUAUUAAGUAAAACACAUUAUUAAAUCCCAUAUAUAUUUAAGUGUUGGAAAAACAAAAUAAAAACUAAGUAAAUUGGAAGACGAAUCAUUCCCUAUGUUGAGAUUUUUUUUAGUGUGAGGUAGACCUACACUAACUAAUAUGCUAUCCGAGCAUGUAUAAUAUUCCGAUUAUGAGGCCAGCCCUUCAAAUUAACUUUACGUUUCAGAUGUUUAAUCUCAAUCUUAAACAUUGGGAGGAGAGGAAGAAAAUGUAUUAAAGUAUAAAAUUGUCCUACAUCGAAAGUUGGAAGAUUUUCUAAGCAAUAUACAAGAGUGUGGCAAUCUAUCUUACUCUUGGAUGUGUGCUAGGCUCAUACUUUACUAAUAGAGAAGAAACUGACGUAUUUUUACUUUUUGGAUGAUUUUAUUUUUAUAAAGUCUAUAUUGAUAAUUAAUACACAAUUUUCAUAAUUUUAUAUUUUGACAAUAGGAUUUCUAAUUUUUUUCCCCCAAAAUUCAAAAUACUCAUCAAAGCUUCACAUAUUUGGCAAUAUUAUUUCGUUCGGGGAUUUUUACUUUGUCCGUUGGGUUAAGUUUCCAUUUUUGGGAGUUGUAUUCUAUUGUGGUUCCACAACAAAUAUUAAUAAAAUUUCAGAUGACCAAAAACAAAACUUCACAAAUUUAGCAAGUUAUGAUGUUAUAUAUUAUAUAACAAGAUUUUUCGAAAACUGACUCCUAUUCUGAUUUAGUAUUGGUUCAACGAUUAUGUACGUUAAAAACUGUUUUUAAUGUUAAUUAUAAGGUUAUGGACCAAAACUCAUAAAUCUUCCUAGAUCCAAAGCAACCUUUAAUAAUUGACUCGUACCAGCUGCCUCUCAAUACUACAGAGUAGCAGAGGUCAGUAAACACCAAAUAUAGUAUGUAAUCAAUUUUGUAUUAUUAUUUGGUAUGAGAGGCAUGUUGUUUUAUCCAUGUAUAUACCAUAAGAUAUAAGUGUUUACUAUUGUAGUCGAGUGUUAUAGCUAAGAUGACCUAAUUGUUAGAUGUUAUAACCAAGAUGACCUAACUGUAAUAUAUUUGGCUGAAUUUAUAUGAUAGUUAGGGUAUAUAUAGUUAUGAUGUAUCAUGGUAAUGGUGAUUCGACUGGCCAUAUAUUAUAUUUGAAAUGAUAACGACUAAAUAUAUAGUCGAUAUCUUUAAUACGGAAAUCUUAAUCCUAAGGAAAACACCAAGAACAUAUAAUCUCAUACGUGUUAUUACGUAUGAGUUUACCGAAUUUAUUCAAGUAGAAGGUGAAACCUAUAGAAAUUAUAGAAAUGAUGGGAGAUCAACGUGAUAAAAAAGAUAUCACCAAAAUUAAUGAAAAACAGUUAAGAUAUUUGGUGAAUUUAUAUUUCAUACUAUAUUCUACAAAUAGAGCAUUUCACUAUGUGAAAUAGUCAAUACAAGAGGUAUAUAUAUCGGGGAAAUGUGGUUUAGCAUAAGAGCAGAGUCACAUUCCUACUCAAUAUAUGCUUCUCAAAUAAGGACUUUUGGUUGUACACACAUGUUUGUUAUGUGGUUUGGAAGAGGAAACAAGGAACCACCUCAUCUUCAAUUGUGUUUUCUCUUAAGUUUGGAUUGUGGUCACUUCAAGGCUAAAUCUCUACGCAGCUCCAUUAUCUUGGAGUUAUAUCUUACACAAGUUGCCCUAAUCUCUUACUUGAUCACAAAGCGGACUAUUCUUACAGGAUAACAGACCACUAUUUAUGUAAUAUGUAAGGAAAAGAAUCAAAGAUUUGACGAUGGAUAUACUUUUCCUCCUUACUUUAUUUUAAAAUAGGGUAGGCCGAAAUUCGAGAAACAAAGUUUCAGAUCAAAAAUUUAUGGGUAGAACAAGGAUCGUUAUCAUCUACGAAAAUAGUUUCAUUUUUGGUAAAUCUUCUAUAAUCCUCUGGCAUGUGACAUAUUGCAGUCUCGUCGUGAUUUCACAACCUUUCUUUUUUCAACAACAUUCAAUAUGCAGACUUGAAUUCUUGACACAUCGAUGAUAGUAGCACAAAUCGAGAAGUCACUUGUCUUGGUCUAAUUUGUACGUUAGAACUAAAAAUCACAUAAAAAGAAACCCUAACUAUGACAUCUUAAGUCCUAAAACAUAAGUCAUUAACUCUAUAAAAUCUAUAAACAAAAUGGGUUGUUUCUUGAUUAACUUUUUUCUCUCAAUUCUAUAUUUUAAUAAUUUGAUAUUUUAAAUAUGUUUAAUGCUUAUUAAAGAUUAAGAGCGACGAUAUUACCGUAAUUUUCUGGAAAAGUGCAGGUUGAACCGUCUAUCAUCGCCAAUUCUGUUAAGAAUAAAACAAUAUAUCGUAAGUCAUCCCCGACCCAAUAUAUAUUAGACUACCUUAUGGGUAAAAAAAUGAACUUUCUUUACAUUAAAACGAGAGACAUUGUUUUGGUAUUUUGUUAUAAAACUUGGAGUUUUUAGUAAUUUAAGAGCUGUUUUGAUUUUUCAUUUUUUUAAGUAGAUCCCUUUUUAAGUAAAACUAUUAUAUGAAAAAAAAUUGUUUUCUUGAGAUAUACUUUUUAAAAAAAAUUGGAUCUUUACAGGGACAUCAUUUUUACUAGUACUUUUUGGAUUUUUUUUUAAAUGAUUAUAGAGUUAAUGACCUUUGAGUCGUAUAUUUUUUAAGACGAAAUUUAGAUCAUAUAAUUACUAUGUUUUGGAAAACAUAUCUCUUCUUACACAAAUCUUUUCAAAGUCUUUAUGUUUUCGAUAAUACAUAAACUUAGUUACUAGACCAACUCGUUUUUGGUUAAUUUUUAGGUCAUUUUUCAAAGACCUUGAAAAAUAUGAUCUUUUUUCUUGUUUAAUUUCUUUUCAGUAGACAUAUAAAUCUUUGGAUCAUUGCACUUUUGCUCAUCCAACUUGGGUCGAGCAUGUCGUAAGAUUAAUGUAUGUAAAAACGAAAGUUUAGCUAAGUGUUUUUCUUUAUAUAUUUUUCUUGUUUCUUAUUUUUUUAUUUAAAAUUCUUCUUAGUAACCAUUUUAUACUUUCAUAUCUUUUAAAGUCAAUUUGUUAAUAAUCUUGUAAGAUUUUUAUUUGUUCAUCACAUCAACAAUUACAUGAGAAACAUGAGUUCAAUAUUAGGGAAAAACUAUCCCAAAAUUUCCUCCGUUUAUGUUUUCUUAUGAAAUUUUUGCUCAAAAAAAAACAAAAAAUGAAAUUAACAAUUUUUUUUUAUUUUUUGUCAACCACACAUUUAUUAAAAAGCUCCUUGGGUGGUUACCCAAUUAGGAGGAGAAAUGUUUACAAAGGUAGCUGUAAAUUUGAAAAGGAGAAAAUAUGAAAUAACAAAUUUGAAAAGUAGUUUUUGAUAUAUUUAUAAUAAAUUGAAUACAUAGCUUUUCAAACUGCAAAUACCGGGGGGAAAAAUACCUUUAUUUUCGGUUGUGCUUUCAUGAUCUUUUGGCUUCUUAGGAAGUAUCUUUCUCACCAAAGAUCUGAAGAUUCUACGGAUCCCCGAAAUAUUUUCCUUUGCACUUCCCAUCUUAUUUUCCGACUGUAUUAUAUGACUUUCUCGUUGACAAAAGAAAAAAAGUAUAAUGUGACUUUUUCUCUAAAAAAAAAAAUUCUGCAACUAAACACAACUCUUAUCUGUUUAAAUGUAUGGAGACAACCACUUCUUGUAAUGUACAUAUAUUUUUCUUUAACAAAAAAAAGUAAUGUACAUAUUUUCCAUUCAAUGUAUAUUUUCCCUUAAAUUUUUUAAUAUUUGAUUAUGUAUAUAUUUGAAUUACUUGAUUAUAUUCCUUUAAAGAGUUGUUUAAGUAAAGAGAUGUAAGGACAUACGUAAGCAUUAUCUAAAUGUGAAUGGAAAUAAAAGUGAGGAAGAUUUGUUCUAUAUGUAGACCGUAAUGACAGGGGUUAUUACACUGUCAUUUUUAAUAACUUUUCAUUUUUCCAAAAGCAUUCUACAAUAUUGCAAAUAAACCUUAUCUGGAUGCUUAUCAUAUUCUAACUUCUUAUAACUACUAAAGAAAUUCUUAAAUUUUCCAUUUUUUUCUUUCAUAAUAAAAUUUUCUAUCAUCACAAAAGAUUAUUUCUAUUAUUUUCUAUAUAUAAUUAGACUAUUAUUUUUCAUAAAUUUAUUCAUAUAUAUAUAUAUACAUAAUAAUGAUUUUAUAUUUCAAUAAUAGUAUAAUAUAUUAAUCUAGAUUUUAGCGGACCCAUAAUCCUCAAAAGAAAAUCUUAUAUAUACAAAUUCAGAAUACACUACUUACAUAUAAUAUACUUGUUAGUUAUUGAUACUUUUGUAAGUAAACUACAUUACUUCAACAUCCGAAUACACGGAAACAAAAAUGUCCAACUCUGACCAUAUAGAUCUCCUUUCCGUCUAACGUCCAAAUGUCCAAAUAGCCAAAAUAAUCAUCUCUAAUUUUCUAUAGACUCUAGAAAACAACUGCAUAACUAACCAAUUUUACAUCCUUUAAAAUAAUAAUUACCAUUUAGUUUAGUAAGUAUAUAUAUAUAUAUAUCUAGUUACGUGAUUGUUGUGCUUUUUCAAAACGAUGUAUUUGUGAGACAAAGCAUAAAACAAAAUAUUUUAUUCAUUCAUUUCCUAAUUACCCUCACGUUUCUAAUUAAGUUUCUUGUUUGCUUUCAAUCACAACAUGAAAGCAUUGUUAUAGUUUUCCUCUAUUUCGGUUUCCCUUUAGUCAUUAGUUAAUUAUACACAAGUGGGAUGGGAAAAUAUUGAACAAAAAUAGAUCUGACUAUAAAUAAUUAGUAUUUAUUUUAAACAAAGACCAAAUUGGAUUCAUAGUCAGUCUGGAGAAGAUAUCGAAUUCACAAAAGACACAAACAUACAAAAUAGCCUCGUACGUGAAGAUCAAUAUCAAACUUACAAAACCGAAGAGUAAAAAUAAUUAUAAACGUCGUUGAAAUCUUCUUCAGUCAAUCGCAGAGUGGAUCAAAAUGGCUGCCUCCUCUGUUGUUGGAGCUGCGUCUUCUGCGUUUAGGGACCAAAAGUCAUUUACAAACAAAUUAACAAUUAUCUACUUAAAUCAUUUGCGAACUCCAUAAUCUUAACACUAGAGUUCCAUCGAAGCGUCUAACUAAUCUAAAGAGCGAACAAUCUCUUCACCAAAAAAAUAGUAAUUGCAAGAUCGAAGGUUAAUAUACACAAUGAAAUCAAAUCCGAGAUUAUUGCAAAUUUACGCUUUAACACUAAAGUCGAGAGUACCGUACCUGGCAGAUGAGAAAUAAUCUUCUCUAAGACUCCAACACUUGAUGAGCUCUCUUUUUCCUUGUCAUUUUCAUCUUCACAUUCUAAUUUUUGAAUGUUUUUACCAGAUUUUCCCUCUGCUGUUGUUGUUGUUGUUGCAUCCAUAAAGUUGGAUAUCAGAUUGUUCAAAAUCCCACCUUUAGCUCCUUUCUCUUCUUCUUCUUCUAGUUCUUGUUUAUCUUUGUUCUUUUCUACGACUUCUUUUGGACACACGACCUUCUCUGCUUCUGGAACGCCUUCUUCCAUAUUUCCUUCCUAUUGUUUCUUUCCUUACCAUUGGUUCCACUUUUCCUUAAGACAGUGCCAUUUUAAUUAAUCUUGUAAAAGUAGUUUGAUGUUGAACUUUAUCGAUGCAAAAUAGUGACUUAAUAUAAUAUACAAUGAGACAAUAGUAUAGGUUAUCCAAAAAAUGAGAUAAUAUAUUAAUUAACUAAAGUUGUACUAAGUCGGUAGAAAAUCUAGAAAAAAACGACACGUCCACUGUUCUGAGAAGCGGUCAUGUGGUUUUACACGUACCUCGUAACUUGUUGUUUACCAUAUAUUUCAUUACACGUGUCAGCUAACUGUCUAAAACUAAAAGCAUUUUCAUAUUCCUUGUCUGAUUUCCUCGAAUCCACACGUCCCUUGUUGUGAAUAGAUGUGAAUAAUUGUGUAUUUUACCAAUUUGCAAGUUUUAGUUCUUUCCAAGAUUUUUUUAUGCAUAUAACAACAACUAGUCAUAAUUAUUUUGUUGUUCUCUUAAUGUUUUAAGUUUUACACGUAAAUUAAAAAAAAAAAGUAAUUUUUAUAUUAUUUAAUUAUUUUUGUUUGUUAAUUUAACAAUUUUAGUUUCAUUCUUUUCCUCUCCUUAUUGGUUACUAAGUAAAAGUAAUAACAAUGUUAUUACAAAAUAUCAAAUUUUGUGGAAGAAGAAAAAAUUUCAAAACAUCAAAUUAUUAGAAAUAGAGGGAGUAAAUAGCUAGGAUUUUUGAGAAAAAAAAAUUCUUUUUAAUCUUUUGAAAAAUGGGCCACUGUUUUUGUCAAAAUUUUUUUUUUUUUUUGAAUAGCAGGAGGUUAUGCGCCAAAACCCGUAAUUCUCCAGAUCCGAAACCACAUCAUAUAAUAUUAGUUUCGUCUCAAGCGUCACUCGAAUCGACGACCUCUAAGUUUCACCAAAAUUUUUUACCAAUUGAGCUAACGACACUUGAAAAAUUAGGUUUUAAUCUUUUGAAAAAUGGGCCAUUCUGUUUUUGUCAAGUUUCAUAUCUCUAAUCUCUGCAAUCUCAGAUUUCUUUCAUAUUCUUUUGCAAAAGUUGGUUUCUUAUUCUCUUCCAAAAAAUUCAGAAAAAAAAGUAAAGUCAUUUGUUUAAGUAUUUCUUUUGCCGGAUAAAUUUUACAUUACAAAAAGAGAAAAAAUCUUCAGAUAUUUGUAGUUGCACAUCUUAUCAAAUCAUUCAACUCUCUAAAACUACCAAAAUAAAUAAAAAUUGAAGUGAUCUGUAAGCUUGAUGGCCUAUUUUAAGAGAUCAUGAAAUCUGGACAAACAAUUCUUUUGGUCAGAAGUCAGAACAGAUCCAAAGUCUAAUUUGUGGAUUAUAUAUAUAAAAGUAUUACAUGAUAACUUUAAAGCUAGCUGCAACAAUUUUGGCAAAAGGGCCUUAUAUUUUGUACAUGCUUUUCUUUUCUUUCUUUUCGUAUAAAUGUUAUUAACCACCACAUUUUACAAGAAACCAAAAAAGUACCUUAAUCCAACUAGUUAUUUUUUGUAAUAAACUUGGGUUGCAAGUGGACGUGGGAAGAUGGAGAAAAUGCAUUUUUGACGCCACAGAUUCUAUGCUUAGUGCUCCAAGGCAGCAAUACAUGUACGCCACAAGCUUUUGGUGAAAAACAAGACUGCCUCACGGUUGCACCACUCAAAUAAGAGAGCUUCUUCUUCCUUCUUUGGCUAGCCGCUGAUGUCACGGCUGCUAGAGCCGCUGCAUCCGGUAGAAACCGCUCUAUUAUGUAACUCGGUGACAUGUCUUCGCUUCGUUCUGUGCUUUCCAUUGUUAAGUAGCCGUUUGAGUCACCUGCUCCGCUGCUCCCAUCCGAUUCCGAAACGCUAUCUUUUGGGAGUUCGACCAUGUCUAUGGCUUGCGUGAGAGACAAGACAUCGACCGUGUCUUGGUUGGUUUGAUGGAAAUGUUCGUGAUUGUUGCGUUUCUUCAUAUGCGACAAUCUAGCUGGUGUUAAACUCUCACUGGCGUCAUCAAAGUCGUCGUUUUCACCUUUAACGUGCACCUAUGAUGUAGAACGAAUGACAAAAUCAAUUGGUAAUGAAUGGAUUGAAAAACCUAAAACAGGAAAACAGAGAAAAUAUUAUGGUUUAGAGAAUGAUAAACCUUCAAUCUUCCAGGAGGUAGUUUGAGGCGGGGCGUCUCGGAUUCAGCAUCAUUUUUCAAAUGAGACGAGUUCUUGGGCAUCCCGGGAGCGGUCUCCCAGCAAAACGGGACGGAAGCUUCCGGAAACUGACCCGGAAGCUUCUCUUGGCUGACAUGGCGCUUCGUCGACAAGAAUGGAGCAUUGAAGUUCAAUCUUCGGGAUCGGUUAAUAUCCAUCAUUUCUUCAACGGUAAGAUACAAAAUCAUUUGAGGGUAAAAGGUGUUUCUUGUUUGCGACCCAAGAAGGCAAAAUUGUGAGUUUGGGAGAUAUCAGCUUUGUUGUAUUGACACUCUUCUUUUCUAGUUUGUUAGCUGAAAGUUGAAUUUAAUGACAAGUUGUUGAAAGUUUGAAACUUUCUCGUGUCUGCAAAACCGAUAUUUGUGGCCUCUUUAUUGUGUUCACAGGUCAGGAAAGAGCUUUAGAAAAAGUUAGUCUCCUACCAUGUGGUGGUGAUAAAAUCGAUCAUGAAACCAAACAUUAGAACUCAGAGCCAAAAUUAUAAUUAAGAAGAUGAUUUCCUCAUUAAGUGAUAAAAAAAGAAUGUUGAAAUAUGGAGGAUAAUUUUGGUGAAACAUGUUGAAAUAUUGUAUGAAUGAAUAGUUUCUUUGUUUUCUUGUUUCAGGAGGAUAAAAAACACAUCCCCGGAUGCUUUCAAAAUCAAUACAAGAAACAUGUAAAAAAAAAAGUUGAAGAAGUUACAGAUACAAUUACAUAAUUCCAGUGAAAAAAAUAAAUAAAACGAAAGAAGCAAUAAUACAUCUAGAAAUAGGACAGAAGAAGAAGUCCAAUUUCACCAGAGGUAAGUUCUUCUUCGUGGUUUCUUCCCUUUUUUUUGGCCAGAAAACGUAUUAUAUCUUAAGCAGCAAGAAACACUCUCUGCACUACUACUUUAUAGUAUCCUCACCCAACCCCCCCCAAUAACCAAAAUUAUAGAGAAAAAAUAUAUAUAUAAAAAGUUUCUAUUUACAUGGCUAUGCUUGUUUUUUCCCUGGUUCACUCAAACCAAGCCUUGUUUGAUUGCUCGGUUUCUGUUUUGCACAAGGAAAAUGAAACAGUGUAGAAGCAUACCAGGAGGGAAGAAGAGAAAGAUUUUGCCCAUCAAACCAAAACGAUAGUUUUGUUCUACUUUUGGUCGUUUGGUUCACGAGCUUUGUGGUAGAGCUCGAGUGUAUCUGCAUGACCUGGAUCAAUACAUAAUGCUGCUUCACAAUCUUUGAUAGCAGCUGCUCCUUCUCCCAUUGAAUCAUAGAAUGCUGCUCGUAGAUGUAACAGCUGGAGAUCUGGUUUAAAAGAUAUCGCCCUUGAAAGCUCGUCUAUGGCUUCACUUUCUUUGUGGUCGUCCAUAAGAACUGCAACCAAGAGUUCAUGUUUUAAAAAAAAAAAAGCGAAACUUAAAAAGAAAGCUUAAUACGCUGCUGGUCUUAGCAAAGCAAAAUUGAGUAUAACAUUGAUAAGAACAGAGGCUGUAAAACUACUGUUCUUAUACACAUUCACCAAACCAGAGAGACUGCAUAUCAAUUCGGUUUAAGGACACAAGUAGAUAACACUCUCAGUUCUGUUUCUAUCUCCAGAAAGAUGAUGGAAAUGUCAGAUGGGUCAUAAAUUCUCAUUUCUGUUUCCAUCACCACACAAGCUGGGUUGUACGUUUUUCUAACACUUUUGUGCAUUGAAUUAUACGUGGGUGAAUCCCUCAGAAAGGAUCAGCCAUUGUUGUCUUGUUUCUGGCAUCCAAUAAUAAACAACAAACAAAAGGAGGAUAAACUAGAACUUGGUUGUGUCAUUAGCAUACCUGCGGCUCUGUAUCUGUAAGGAUAGGUUCUGAGAGGGUCAAGCUGUGUUGCCAAGCUAAGGUCGCUCUGUGCCAUCUCGCGGUCACAAUAUUCAGAGCGCUUCUCAUAUGCCGAAGCAUUGUUCUGAGCCUUCUCUAUUAGCUUUGUCAUUUCAUCAAAGGCAGCUUUCCGUUGGUUUUUAAGGUGAUAAACACGUGCAAGACCUUGGUGAGCUCGUGUAUGCUUGAUGGUGAGAGCGUUUGUGUAGCAAUCAGCUGCAAGAUCCAGCUUUUCACAAUCCACAUAUACGCUCCCCAGGUUGUUCAAAGCCUGCAAGCAAAUACACCAAACAGGAGUUCAUGAUAAUGUCAUAUGAUAUAGUAGGAUAACCUUUUGAGCAAAUAUACGAAACGGUUUUUAGGACAGUUGGUUCCUGAGAUGCGACCACAUUCCAUUAUCAACAAAUUACUCCAGACACCAAGAGCAAAAAGUUUUAAACUGGGAUUCUGAAACUAGGGAAGUCUGAAGCAUGAUCCAACAAGUAAACACUCUAGAAAAAGAAUUGACUAAUUGAGAAAUCAAAUAACAUAAAUGAAAAGUGCUGAACUCUUUACUUACUUGUCCCUUACGGAGACCAUCUGAGGGGCACUUAAGCGCUUCUUGAAGGAGCUGAAUCACAUAAUUUGAGGAAUCCGGGUCAAGCGUAGAGUCCGCAAGGGCAUAAGCUUUGAGAAAAAACGCUUCAAAAGAUCUUUGUAUGGAAAUGGACUCCUCCGCUUUGGCAAGGGCUUCCUCGCGGUGACCUGUAUCAUACAAUAUCCAACCUUCAUACACAAGUCUCUCAUGCUCCGACUUUGAAUGGUUUCGAGCCAGCCUUAGACUACGCAUUGCUGCCUUUUGACAAUUUAGCCUGUCAGUAUGCAAGCAGCACUUGUUAGAAUCAAUUAGAGUCUGCCACAACAUGCACCAGAAGAUAAAAGUUUUUAUUGAGAAGCGUAAAGAGAGAUUAUACCGUAGCAGAAGAAGAGACUGUCUGAAUCGUAAAAGACUCUUCCCUGGAUCAUUUGCAAGCAUAUGAUGAACAACUGCUAGAGAACCAAUAUCAUCCACAGAAGACCAACGAUCAUACAGCUGCAUCCAGCAAUCAGCCUGGCUCCACUGCUGGGCUAACGGACGGAGCAGCUCCACCAUAUGAUCACCAUGGAUUUUCCAGUUAAACAUCAUAAAAUUCGGCUCCAAUGUCAAAAGCGCCCGAAUAUCUUUCAGAGCGCCCUCAUAAUCCUCCAUACCUAUAGAAAUCCAUGCCCUCAUCUCCAGACAGUCAGGAGAGGCCUUGAAUCCAAGAAUCUUGUUCAGUUCCGAGAUCGCAGCUCCAAACUGGUUCUCUUCAACCAAUGCCACUGCCCUGAAUUUGUAGGGGAAUGUCAAAGUCGGGUCUAACUCAGUAGCUGUGUCCAAAUCGAGCAGCUUUUCUUUACCACUGCAAUACAAGGACCUCUCCUGGUGCAUCCACCCAGUAGCUUUAUGAUCCGAAAUCAGUGAGUUGAUGAUCUUAUAAGCCGAGUACCUAUGGUCACGCUUGAACUUAGACCUAGCAACGCCCACGAGGGAGUAAAGAUGACCAGCCUCAACUGCUGCGUUAAACCAUCUCUGAGCAUCCUUAUAUUCUUUUCUCUCCAGCAUCACCACUCCUAAUUGGUGAUACGCAAGCUGUUUCUCCCAAUUAUCCACCGCGCAUUCAACCAAACGUUCUAAGAGCAUCACAGUAGUGUUAGAUUUCAUAUCAUCUUCCAUGGCAAUCUGGCUUAAGAAGAAGUACAAUGUAAAAGAAGCAUGGCCAAGAGAUGCCAGUCUUUCCCGUCCCUCGGCACUACAGAAGAACUUUAUAACAUUCGGAUUAUGCAUAGAGCUCGGCAAUUCCCUAAGAAAAAUCUGAAGACAAGCUGCCACCAGAAGGUAUGCAGCCUCUUCUAAUCCAUACUCGAUCAACAACAUUGCCUCAUCCAGAGAAUUAACAAGAUGUGCCAAAUGCGAAUCGCAAGCGGAUUUCAAUUCAUCGCAACAGAACCGAUUCGCCAGCUUAAGAAGCUCCAAGACAACAUUAGGAGGGAAGUUAUCUAACCUGUUGGUCCUGCUGAAAAUCUCUGCAGCUCUCAUCCCUUCAACAGAGAUUCCGUUCUGCGUAAAAUUGAUCGUGGCUCGUUUCAUUUCUCUAAACCCACCGUAUAACAUCGCCUUGAAAGGUCUCGACAAAGAAGCGAUUUUGUACCUCACACAACGAACCUCUUCAUCACCAAUACAAAAGGACAUAUCAUAGUCUACUUCCUCAGAAGUAGAACAUUCAUCUUCAUUCAUCAUCUCUGAUCUAGAAGCUCCAGAGCAAAUACAUGGAUCAUAUACAGAUUCCGGAUCAUACCCGGAAACAAGAGUCGCCUUUGGACAUUCCAAAUUCCUCCCACAACAAUCCAUAGAAGUUGUUCCAAUUAACUCAUCCUCCCUCCUCUCGAAUCGAAGCCACGACGCCAGCACGACUUUCGCAUGAACAUCCACGGCAUGUUGCCUAGACGAUCGGAGACUCCGCCGGAAAAGUUUCGGAUCAGAAAUUCCCCGGAAGAUAGCGCAUUGCUCUAAAUACGCCCCAGACUUCUCGAAUUGGGAACAAUUCUCGAUCCUCCGAUAAACUUGAGCCAUCAUGUCAACCAAAUCAACGAAUUUCAAACAAGGAUCGAUUUGAGGUUCAAGCAGAUCCGUCACAGGAAGUCCACAGGGAAGAAGAAACUCGGGAGAAACAAGAGCGUUUGCUUGAUUCGAAGGAGGAGGAUAAGUCCGGCUUGAUUUAGAUCGGACUGAAUUAACACGAAGAUGAUCUGAAAGGUGUUGUAAGAGCUUAUCCCCAACUCCUCCGGUGCCACCGCUACCACCACCACCGCCGCUAUUACCAGGAGGAGGAGGCGGAGGAGGAGCUGAUGGGUUAAGAGCGUAAACUUGUGUACCCUUACAACCUUCUGCAAGCUUCAAACUUCGCAUUGUUGUGAAGAGAUUAUGCUGCAUCUUCAAUCAAACGCAAAGCAAAGUUUUCAAAUUUAUCCAAAGAUCUGAAUUUGGGUCAUCAACAAAACAAAACAAAAAACUCAAGAUUUACAAAUUUCUUCCGUCACCUUUAAAACAAUUCCGAGGAUUGGAUCACGGAGCCAAUCCAAAAGUCCGGUGCUUCAGACCCUUUAAUCAAAAACCAAUAAAAAUCAAAUAAUAUUUUACAAAGUUUGUGUUUUUAUCUUCCUCAACGAAGCUCUUCUUCUUCGUCUUCUUCUUCUCGGAAAUCGUGUUUUUGCAGUGUAAGUUUCAUCGAUCCGGUUCGUUUUUUUUUGUUCGCACUAAUUUUACGAAUCUAUCCGUAAAAAUAGAGAGAGGUAAUUGGAGGAAGAAUCUUCCUCCGCUCGAUCUCUCUCAGUUUUGGUUUAUUGUUUUUUUUUUUUUUUUUUUACGAAUCUGUUUUCAGAGAGAAGUCAUGUGUUCUAAUAAUGCAAAAUUAAAUUAAAAAAAAAAUAUUAUUAUAUGUGUUUGUUUGUGUGGCUUAUUUUUAUUUUUUUGCCUUUUUAAGUUUUGUCCUCUUGUUAGUUUUGUGGAAAGUAAUUUGAUUAGUUUAUUUUAUUUCCAUUUAAAGCUUAAAUUAAUCCUCUUCUAACGUUAUCAACUGCCAUUUUUUUAUUUCUUAGAUUUUCGCGGCACUUUUUACAAUCUCCAAAAAGGUUGAAAAAAAUAUACAUAAUUAAUUAAACAUUUAUAUGAAAGUACUGGCCUUUAAUAUACUUUGACAGUUUAUUUAUUUAUCCCCACUUUCUUUAGCAUGCUUCUAUGUUACACUUGUUUCCCUUUUUUCUAUUUGUUUAGUCUAAAAUUUGUAUUCGUUGUUAUGUUCCUUUUUUUUUCUCUGGCUGAAAUUGAACUUUUACUUUUGGGUGAGUCUUAUGCUUUUUCCAAAAUUAUGAUUUAUGAAGUUAGAUCAUAUUUAUCGAUUUUGUUAAAUAUAAAACAUAAACGGAAGAUUGUUCGAUUUUAUCCAAAGUGGAACUUGAACAAGACAGAGUGGAUUCCAUCAAUUAAUUUUUGGUAUUUUAUUCGUUGUCUUUCAAUUGGUUAUAAUUUGUUAAGUUUUUUUUCAGUAUAAAAAAAAACACCAAAUGACACAUUUUUAUAUUUUUGUUAACUUGAAAAUCAGAAAAAAAAAUGUUAGUAAAAUAGUAUAUUUUCAUUGCGAUUUCAUAAGAUUAACUACUAGUGUAUGUUCUAUAAAUGUAGUAAAGGAUAAAAAUAUUUGAUUUUUUCUGCAUGUACUAGAGAUUAGUCAAAUUUGAUAUGGAUUUUUUCGAUAAUAACCAACAUAUUGAAUUCAUAAUUUUGCAAUUUUAAUUGAAUAAACUACCAUGAUAAAUGUUUUUUUUUUCCUUAGUCAUGUAUUAGAUUAAUAUAGACAAUCUAUAUUAAUCUAAUAUCAUGCACAUUAACUUUUACUAUAACCAUUUUCACUAAUCUAUGAAUUUUUCUAUAGAUGAACAUGUUUUUGUAUAUUGAGAGGUUGGUUCCUCAUGGAUUUGGCACUCGGGUGUUGUGAGCUGAGCUGACUCAUUGGAACCUUAUGAACGAAGAUUAAUCUUGACAACAUUGAAAUUUUGACAAAAAAUUGUCUUUCAGUUACUUCAUCAAUUAAAGUAGUAUUAAACAGUCCCGCUAAUAUUAUCAAUUAUUUCAUUGGUACUUUAAUUUGAAUAUAGAAAUCACUAAAAUCACUUAUCAAAUUGUCUGUUAGAAUAUGUCAAAACUUUAAUCCGCUUGACCAAAUAAAUCUAUAGUUUUACCACUACGUGGCCAGUUUAAAUUACGCAAAAAAACACCACCAUAGAUCUGUCAGAAUCUUUCAUAAACAAUAUAUCUGCAGAGAUUCGUCGUUAUCAUUUAUAUUAAUAAUGUAAAGUAUCUUUAAAUGUUUGAGGCUACCACAUAUACCGGUUGUGCGUGACACAAUUACAUUGCUGAUAUUUUCUCUCACAAAUUAUGUUUACUGAUACAAAACGUAAGAAACGUAUCAUAGAAUAGAAUAUAAAUAAAAAUUAAAAUAUUAUCUGACAGAACAUAAUAAAUUGUCGAGAAAAUUAAUAAUAAUAAAAUUAAUAUGUGCUGUUAGAUAGCCGGCAAAGGGCUUUUGCCACCCACAUUAAGCGGCGAAGUCAUGUCAACACGUUUUACUGUUAAUUUUGUUAUAUAUAAAUUCUUAAGGAAGUAAUCGUAAUUAAAUCUGUGCUAAGCUAUGAUUAAGUCUGGUAUAUUGAUGGGUGAUUAUUAGUUUAUGUGAUGACACACGAAUAUUAUUAUUAUAUAGAUAAAUAUAAUUCUAUGAAACAUAUAAUUGAGAAUGAAACUUAUGGUCAUGUGGCUGAGACAGCUAAGAAUGUCUUCUUAGUUUUGGGUAAGAAUGUAUUUUUAUCCAAAAGCACGGAUCGUACUAUACACUUUGUACAUUACCCACCUAAAUCACUUGUCUAUUUCUCUCUAUGUCCCCACAUAAUUCUUCUCUCUCUUUUUUUUUUUUUACUAUCAUCUCAAAUAAAACCAUUAUGUUUCAAAUUUCGAUUACAGACUGUGGCAUAAAAUACUAUGUUAAAAAAUAGCAAUACAUAAAUGAUUGAUGGUACCGCUAAAUUUUACCGUUAUAUGAUUGGUAACUAUACUAGCGAUAUCGUUCACCGUUUACCUUCUCCGUAAAGGAUUACUAAUCACACCCAACAAUUCUGGUGAAUUUGUUUGUACCAUUGGAUUUUUUUAGAGACAAUAUAUGAGAUAUGUAAAGGCUCAUAGGCCUUGGGAAAUUUCACACUAGCAAUUUUUCUAGAAAAUCUCAGAUAUUUUAUGACGUUGAAUCUAAGAUACGAAACUAAGGUGUUGUUUGAUUUUGUACUAAGUUUGGAUGCUCAAUUAUAGGUCCAUCUAUAGGUCCAUCAAAUAUUUGAAAGAAAAAAAAGAAUAUACGAAUCGACCCAUUACUAAUUUGGCCCAUCAAAUUCAAAUGGUUAACCCAAUCCAUUUGGUUAAUAGUUCGGAGUUCGGACCGUACCGGUCUACCGGAUAAUCCAUUUUUUACACGUGAAUGAAAUAUGUAACAGCAUAUUUUAUUUCUGCAACAUUUUAUCUCUAUCAAUCAAACUUUAACGCCCGAUUGUUAUAACAUGGGAACACAAAAUGCAAAAGUAUUCCCAAAACCCAAACAGUGUAUCCAUAAUCUUACUACAACGACAUUAGCCAAUUAGGCACUACAGUACAGAGACAUCAAAGAUUAUUUGAACAUUUCGUACAAAAGAUGUAGAUUCCGAUACUAUUCAAAUUUUAUAUAGACACUGGAGGAGCAUAAAGCCGAUAUUUUUAUGGUCAUUUUCCAAUUUAACAAUAAUCAAAAAGAUAAACAGUAACCAAAAGCACUUUUUCCUUCAUGGCAACGUAACAGUAGUAAAAAUGUCAGUCAAAUUUCUCCCAAUCUUGAGUUACAUUGGCUGAAGGCGAAGCUGGCGGAGGAGGGUUCAAGCUUCCCACUCCGUUACCGAAUGAUUCCCACUCGGUGCUUACUGCUGCGGCUUUGCUCUGAUCCACAAACGGAUUUGAACAUCUUGCCUUCAACUUAUCCACAAUCUCCUGCAAGUUUUGGACUCUACGUACCUGCCAACACAAAACCCAAUCAUUCUUCAGUCUAUGAUUAAUUUAGACUGAAGAUAGAAGAAAGAUCACAAGAUGAUUCAGAGGAGCACAAUCCCAAAUCUUAAGAAAACUAAAUGUAUCUUAACCAAAGUCUCUACAUUUACAACUAUAUGAAACAAAUACGAUAUAUGAAAUCUUUACCAAAGUCUACAUUUAGAUCGUUGCAACUCAUCUCAGCUUAUAAAAGUAGUAUAAUUCUGAACACUCAUACAUCUACCAGCUCUAUUAACACUCUUAUCGUCUAAACAAGUUUAUUAUGCACGCAGAUGAACAAAGUAAUAAACUAAAAACUAACCUCUGCCUUACGCUGUACUUUAGCUUCCCCUUCAGCCUCAAUACCAUCCAAUUUGAGCAACUGCCUCAUGAGAAGCUCCACAGUCAUGUCAAACUCCCGCACCGCAACUUUCGUCCCUCCAUUCACAGCAACCUCUAAAGCAACGACCUAAUUUCAAAAUAAUAAACAAAACUACCUUAAGUACAAUCCUUCCUACCUUUCCUACAGUAACAAAAACCAAAAGAUGUAGAACUCACCCUAUCUGAGAGAUUAUCGACCUCUCCUGUAACCGCAACAAGUGCAGCAAUAGCUUUUGCCAUCUCUUUGGUUACCACCACAGGAGGCUGCUGUUCAACUUGUUCCACUCUCUUAUUCGUAUCCUCAACGAGAACAAGCUUAGACGCAUCCUUAACACCAGCAGCUUGCAAUUGUUCAGCAUCAUCUCUCUCAACUCCCCUGAACAAGAUGUUCAAUUCACUAGCUUCCAACCCAGUUUUCUGAACAAGGGCUUUCUUCACAUCACCUAUAUAUCACAUUCCAGCUUAAACAUAUCAAUCUUAACUAGAUUAACACAACUUCAACAACUAGAUUAAGCAAGGAAAAUUUCAUAAACUCCAUAAUGAAUCACGCAAAAUUCUCUGAGGCUUCGAUAAUGUACACUAAGGAAAAAUCAGAAACGGAUCGGGAAAUGAGCUGAGCGUUUUGUUACCGAAAGUGGCGUGAGCAGAAAUAUGAAGAUCGUGGUGGGAUGAGCCAUGAGAAACAGUGAUUCUGAUGGUUUGAGAAAAAGCGGCGGAAGCAGAGUCGGGAUCCUGGAGAGGUUGGUCGGAGGAAGCGGUGUCGUCUCUUCGUUGGACGAGCAUACCACCAGGUCUCACCUCCCAUUCCGAUUCGUCGGUUGAAUUAUACAUCAUCGUUUUCGACAAGGAAUCGGAGUAUGAGAAUGGGAUAAAACCCUUUGGAGCAACAAAUUAGGGUUUUUUGACGACGGAUGAUGAUUCACGCCUCCUCAAGCGGCCAUACAAAUUCUCCUGAUACACACACGGGUUUUCAAUUUUUAUUAUUUUCCUUUUCUUUGGUAAUUAGAAUUUCUUACGAUUUGGGUGUCAACAAAUAUAUAUCUUACUAACAAUAAUUUUUCAUUUUUAUACAUAACAGAUAUUUUUGGUAUUUCACAUAUGAUGAUUCUUCACAUAAAUUGUGAAACGUCAACUUUUCUGUUAGUUAACGACUGGUUUUAGAUCCAACCAACCGGCCCUGAAUGGAAUGAGUUGUGCACGUAACACUCAUAUUGGCAGGAUUUGAACAGGCCUAAUUGCAGACAGGACUGUGCCCGGAUCAGGUCCCCAACCAAAAGGAAUUUAUAGGCCUAGAAUUUUCUUGAUUGAACAAAAAAAACAAAAACUAUCGAAGAGGAGUAUGGCCUCAAUCAGAAUUUAGUUAAGUAGAAACAGAGCAGCAAGUAGAGUAAUGGUGAUUUGUCCAUAGCAAUCGAACAUGGUAGCGACAAAUAUCUCGUUCCCUACUUGAUAGUCAGUUUUUGAUGACUGAAUCAUAUACCACUCGUUCCAUACUUGCUAUGCACUGAAAGACUGAUGCAUAUAUAAAGAUGCAGUUAAAAAAUGCGAAAGCGAUAAGAGGAACAAUUUAUACUACAGCUAUACUAGUAGUUGGUUAUCUAGCACCAAGCCCAAGAGAAGUGCCAAAAAAGAAAGCCAAUGCCAUGAUUCUAAGGCUAAAAACUUUGAAAAUGAAAAUUCUAGAGGCAAAUAGAGGCAUCCAAAAACGACUCAGAAAGUACAAACUUGAAAUCUCUAGGGCCAGAAUUGCCUGAACGUAAGAUGCAUAAAAAUGAAUGCGUAACCAUUUUCGAGAUUGUCAACAAGCUCGACACAUAUUUAUAGAACAACGAAGAAAGAUCUUGGAACAUCCAGAACAACAUACAGGAAGUAUAAGACCACACAAGCUACUACUUUGGUGAUACGUAUACAAUUAUAUACCCACGACCUGGUCAAGCUGAUAAGCUUCACUAGAUCAAUCUAAUCUGUGUGCAGCAGAGAAACAACAACAAACAAAACAUAGCUUCACUACACAAAUCUAAUCUCUGUGCAGAAUUAACAACAAACAAAACAUCCAAAACACACAAGAAACGAAGCAGCAAAUUUGAUCCCUCGUCAAAGUGUUUCUUUAUUUGAUCAACAUAACAAGAAAGUAGAUUAGCUUAUAGCUUUGUGGGAUCAAACAAAGCUAUUGUAUAGUGUGUAUCAUCACAUUUCUCCUCCUAAUUCUCAAAUAGACUCAAAAUCAAAUCUCUGUUUUCCCGGAAUAAACCAUUCCAAUCUUCCUACUCUUUUUCCAGAAACUAUAAUCAAACAUAUCAUUAUAAGAUGAACAAUAAUACCCACCAAAAGCUCGAACUUGGGGAAAAAUUCGAUAAACUUAAAAAAGAAUGAAGUUUAUACCAAACUAAGAAGCCACUACUUCAGCAGCUUGUUCAGUCGCCACCGCGGCCGCUUCAAUAAUCUUCUUAUUCUUCUCAAUCGCCGCCGCAACUUCCUGUGGCAUAUACUUCUCAUCAUGCUUAGCCAAAACUUCCGUCGCCGAGAAGAAACAAUCGAGAUUCCUAGCUUUCUGCGAAACAGGUUUUGUAGAAACUUCCUUCCUCACUUCAUCCGUAUACGGCUUAAUGAAUCCUUCAACCACAACUGAGUGACCUUCCCUAAACAGAUCCGGCAAAGAUCCUUUGUAUCUAACCAAAAUAUCAGUGAUCAGAUCGGUGAUCACAAACUCCAUCUCCUGUGACGCCGCCGGCUGCGCAACGCUACCUUCAAGAACCAAACCACCGAGUCUGAAUUUGUUUUUGGUUGGAUUCUCUGCGAAUUUCUCCAUAGCGUCUGAUGGCGUUAGGUAGAAGACGAGCUGAUCCUGGAAUUGGUUGAGGACGAUAACUACGAAUCCGGCGAUGCAGCUGAAGGUUAGAGCGUAGGUCCACAAACGGCGAUUCUGCAUCUGACGCGCUUUGGCUCCGAUGUCGAUCUUCUUAGGACGCGUUGGACCACGACGAGCGAUGGAGAGAGAUCGGAGGAAGGUUAAGGAUGAUAAUCGCGAUGGAUCUGGUGAAGCGGUGGUCAAUGAAUAAAAAAUCGGGGAAGGAGAUUCGAAUGAUGAUGAGAUUUGAGGAUUUCUUUGAAUAGAUCGUAGGAUUUGAGAACUUCGACGGAACAACAAUCUAGCCGCCAUUUUUUCUGAUUUUUCCUCGAGAAUUUUCUCGUGGGAAUCAAUCAAAUUCCGGAGAAAGUGAGAAGAGGUUUAUGGGGUUUUCUGGAAAAAUGAGGAAGAAGCCACAACCCACAAGCCGCCCCACUGAACUAUGGACCACGUCAAGAACCUCUGUAUAGGUUAGAGGGUUUAAUCACAAAGCUAAGUUUUUUUCUUCUGUCACAAAGUUUUCCAAAGAUGCAAAUGCAAGUGUCCAAAAAUUUUCUCUUCUGUGGGAUCAAAUCCUUACCGCGUAAACACACAUUCAAAGAGUAAGUUCGCUGGUAACACAAACAGAAUUGCACUUGAGCUAUGUACAAGAUCAGUAUGCUGACUUUUUUGGUUAAAAGACUACCAAUAAACUACUUUUUUGGUUAAAAGACUACCAAUAAACUACUUUUUUGGUUAAAAGACUACCAAUAAACUAUGUUUAGAAACCACCCAGUAUUUUUGAUUCGAGAAUGAGAAACGAUGAUGAAAAGUGUUUUGUGCAAAAAAAUGCACAAAGGUGAUAAACUCUUUUUUGUUGUUUUUUUUUUGUUUAAGAAGAGACUCUCUUGAAACCCAAACAUACAAAGAAAGAGGUACCUCAAGUUUCAAAAAUUCUUUAAAAGAAACAAAGACAAAUCUUCCUACUCAUUCUUGAGCAUUACUACUUGCGUCCAUUGGCUCAGCCUCUGUUGAAGCCUCUCCUUUCUCUCCUGCCUUCUUCGCUGCUAAACACCAAAUUGAAUCUUUUUAAUCAACAUGUGGAUCGCAUUAUAUAAGGUAAAAGUCUGGAAAUUUAUUUCUAAGUUCUUACCUUUCUUCUUCUUUCCACCACCCUUCUUCUUCUUGAUACCCAAGGCUAACCACCCUUGGAUCUCAGGGUCUUCACUAAUCUUAGUACCAAGCUCCUGAAGUGUAUGUGAAGUGAUCCUAUCCGAUCCAUUUGGCAUCAGCAAAACUGUGAACUUAAUUUGGGCAACAAAAUCCCCUGAAAAAUAACAUGAGUCCUGAUGUCAAGAUUCAGUUCUAUAUAUUAAAAAAAAAAACUUCAUCCUCCUUACCAGGCUUCUCGUAAAGAACAGGAUAUGGUUGCAAAUGACCAUGGUUCACACACUCCACAAGACCAAGACGAGCCCUUUUCUCCUCCAGUGACCUGUAUUGAUAGUACUCUCAGGAACCGUUAGUAAGUGAGAUAAUAUUUUUAAGAAAAUAAAAUGCUAAAGAGGGUAUAAAAGACACCUUGCAGUGAAUGGCAUACGGGGGAAGUUCUGUUUAAUUUCGCUGAUUAUGAAUCUGGAGGCCUUCAUCUUCAACUGAUAGUUAACACUCUCAUCUUUCUUGUAAAUAGUUGUUUGCUUCUCGUCUAAUAGCUUUGGCUGCAAAGUCAAAGAUUGUGAGAACAAUGGCAAUAGAUAAAGGUUCACCAAUAGUGAUCAAGAUACAAUAAACAAAAGCAAUUACCUUGCCAUCACCAGUGCUUGCCACAAUAUCUAUUGCAUAGACUUCAUUCUCUUCAAAUUCCACUUCGUCAACAGUUGUUUCAGGGCUCGAUACACUUAGCACAACCUUGUUUCCAUCUAUCACAUGCUGCUUCAUCUGGUGGGAAAGAACCCCUUCAACAAUUUUGCAGUCAUAAGCUCUAGCCACCUUCUGAAUGGCUUCAGUUACUUCAGUGUUCUGCCAUAAGAAAAACAGAAUAUCAAUGUCUUAAUUGCAAUAUGUUGUAUGAUUAAACAAGAAACUACAAACUCAUAGCAAGAAACUUUAUUUAAAAAAAAUUCCCACAUCAAAGUAGCUAUGGCCUCACUUGGAAGUGAAUCCAUAGCAAUUACAGCCUUUAUCCAGAAAUCUCUUCCCACAACAAUUUACAUGUUAAAUCCGUUAAAAAAUAAGCAAACCAUUCAGCAUCGUGCAAGACCAAGAGAGGCACAACUUAGACAAAGUUUCAUCGUCUCAUAGUAAAUCCAAUGAGGGAUCAUACUAAAGUUCAGAAAGAAAAAAAUCCCAUCAGAGUAACUAUGACAAAAAAGCAUCAGAUGGAUAAUAAUCCAUAGCCAUUUAUAAGUGUUCAUCAUCUGGGCUUUACAAAACCUUGACAAUCAUUCAAGAACCAAAUAAACCAAAAGCCUAUACUUUCAACUUUCAUGUAAAAAUAGUACUAGGGAUACCUUCUUUCCAGGACGUACGAGCCUCAAAGCAACGUCAGCUGCAGUAUUAGCGGCACGAAUAACAUCAGCUUUACGCCCAGUAACAGGCCCUUCUUGAAGAACAUGUGUGUGACCAACAAGAGCAAUGAACCCAUCAAUAUGGCAUCCCAUAUCACUGCGAUUGAAACGCAAAACAGCAUCAGUAAUAACACAGGUAAAUCAAACGGACACAUCUAAAAAAGGGUAUUACUUGAAGACAACUUACAUUUUAACCAUAUCACCAUCUUCCAACACAGACUCAUCACUGGCAAGCGGUGAGAAAUGACCAACAGUGUUGUUCACAGAAAUGCAUGUAGGGAAAGCAACACCUCUCUCAAUCUUCUUCUUAGCAUUCUUGUACAUGCUCGCUGUUUGCCUUUUAUUCAAAAAACAGAAGAAAGAACGAACACAUAAAUAUCUAAAAGCAAUCAAGAAAGCGAAAUCUACAUCAAGAACAAAUCUGAGAACAAAGAGAUCAAAAUCCUCACUCUUUGAUAAAAGCAUCUCCUUUCUCGCAGAUAUCAACAAUCUUAGCUUUUGGUUUGCAUUCAGCUAAAACAACCUGCAACGCCUCUGCAAUUCAAAACCCAACAGAAAUCGAUAAAGCUACACCGUGAAAACCCUAAAUCCAAAUCGUACUUAAAAUCAAAAGAAGAAAAGAGAAAGAGAGGGUAUUACUGUUAACGAUCUCAGCGGCGGUCUUGUACUUGGUAACGACUUCAGGAGAGGUAAGACUCAGUUCCUGCUCGUCUCUCUCAUCGUCCGAACUCAUCUCUGAUAACUCUCGACGAUCGAAACAGGGGAAACAAAAUGUUAGGGUUUAAGGAGGAGCGAUUGGGGGAAAAUGGUGGAGAAGGAGAGAACUGAAAGUGUUGGCUCAAAUAAAGGUGCUAGGGUUUUCGCUUUGUGUACUCUCUUCUUAAACGGCACCGUUUUGGAUUAAUCCCUUAAACGGCACCGUUUUGGAUUAAUCCCUUAUUUAUGCGUUUUCCAGUUACGCGUUACUCAUAUACUCAACAUGGGCCGAAGGAAAGCUGUUUCAGAUAAGCCCACGUCAGGUGGCUCUCAUUAGUCAUUAUACGUUGCAAAUUAUUUAUUCUUCAAGACAAUAAAUUCAUAUAAUUCGAUAUUAAAUAUUUAUUUAAUUUUUUGUGUUAAGAAAAUCGUUUAUGGUAAGGAUAUAUUCAUAUAAUUCGAAUAGUGAUGUUUAAAGUUUUUUUUUUCUACGUUCAUUUUGUUUUUGAUUAAUCUAACAUUACCUUAAAAAAAAUUAACGACGGCUAUAUCUAUAUAUAACAAUAUUUGAGAAGUGUUUUUGCUGACGUGUCGGACUCUCGGCUCUUGUUGAGUCCUUGAUUUUACGUAAUUACUUAAAUACCUUCUAUUAAAUCAAGUCGAAUAUCAACUAAUGUUCAAUUACAUAAGUGAAUAUUUGAUAUAAUUUACAUUUUAUAAAAUUAAUAAAAUUCGUAAACACGAAAAAAUAAGAAAACCUAAAAAAAAAUGGAUCGAUUGUAACAUUUUUUUAAAUUAAUAAUAUUCGUAAACACGAAAAAAUAAGAAUACCUAAAAAAAAUGGAUCGAUUGUAAUUUACGUACCAAUUUAGAAGAUGUUCAUCGUACCUCAUCAUCAUGUUCUUCGUCGCAUGUAAACUUUUUAAUAUACAUACCAGACUUGAAAACCUAAAAUAUAGCAUAUAACCAGAGAGAAUCGACAAUUUAGUGAUAGAACAUCAUCUUUUGAUCGAAUCUCACAUGAUGGAAAGACGACUCUUAAUUAAUAUCUUGUCCAUGCCAAGUCUUCAAACCAUCAUAUUGAAUUAUUGAUGCUAUCCUGCACCAUAGAGUUCAAGCUAAUAAAAGAGGGUGUUCUUUAAAAUUACCUUGAAUUAUCUGAUUGGAUCAUGCACGAAUAAUGAAUAUAGACUCGAUGAAAGUGUAUUAACCUCCAUUGAUCGUAAUGAAAAACGUGGGAUUUCGUAGAAGGAGACGGAAAAUGGUCGUGUGUCUUCCUUUUUUUUUCUUUUUUUUUUCGUUUUGUUUUCCGUUUUUUUUUUGUUUUUUUCUUUCUUUCCCAACCAAUCGUUUGUGAUAAUUAUGAGUUAAAAAUUAAAUUUCCUUUUUUGAUAAGUAGAUAUUGGCAAAAAAUAUCAAAACAAUCCUACGUAUAUUCUUUAAAUCUGAUUCAUAUCUCUAAUAAAAUUUUAUUUUUUAAAUAUUUUAUGUCGAUAAUGACGGAAAAUCUAAACAAAUGUAAGAUAUAGUAGUAAAUCUAAAUCGUUAUGUUAUUAUUCCAUCUUUAUCUUAAAAUAAAAUGAAACGUUACUUAAAAUUAAUAUGUAUAAUAUUGAAUAAGACAAUUUUAAAUUAUUAAUUUUUAUUAAUUUUUAUAAUUUUACAAGGUAUUUAUAAGGUUUUACAAUGUAUUUUAAAAGGUUUUGCAACGUAUUUACAAGGUAUUUAUAAGAUAUUAUAAGAUUUUACAAGCUAUUUUAUAAGGUUUUUACAAGUUAUAAGGUUUUACAAGGUUUUUAUAAGGUUUUACAAGUUAUAAAUACCUUAUAAAACCUUAAAAGUACCUUGUAAAACCUUUUAAAAUACAUUGUAAAACCUUACAAAACACUUGUAAAUACCUUGUAAAAAACCUUUAAAAUACCUUGUAAAUUUUUCCCGCCAAAAAUUUUCCCGCCAAAAAAAUUUCGCAAAAAAAAUUGUGGAAUCACUUUUCUCGCAAAAAAAAUUUUUUGGCGGGAAAAAUUUUUACGGGAAAAUUUUACAAGGUUUUUUAAAGGUUUUUACAAGUGUUUUGGCGGGAAAAUUGCGGGAUCACUUUUCCCGCCAAAAAAUAUUUUGUAUUUUGUGGACCUAAUUUUGUUUCAAAUAAGGGUAAAAUGGUCAUUAAAAAUUAAAAGAGGGCAAACUUAAAAAUGGACUCUCAAAGGGGGUAUUUUUGAAAAGGAGCAUUUUUAACAAUUUCUCAAAAAAAAAAGGAACAACGAAGUACCAGUUAGGAAGCUUUAAUUGAAUUCAUCGUGUUCUUCGUCGUGUGAAUAUAAUUCUUCUAAACGAAGGCAAAACUUGAAAUCCUAACAUAAAGCAUAUAUUCAUAGCAAUAACAGAGAUCUAAUAAUUUAGUGAUAGAAUUUCACCUGUUGAUCUGUCGAAGCAGAAUAGUCAAGCUUCUCAUAGUAUCUUGCCCAUGUUAUGUCUUUAAGACGUCAAUACUAUCCUGCACCCUAUAAUUCUAACCAAUGAAAAGAACAAAUAUUUAUUACCUUGGAUACAGAGUUGACGAAGAAACCUUGGAUAAAAACUCGACGAAGAAACUUGUAAGUGUUAAUGUAUGAUGAAGCUUCCAUGAACGUGAAUUCGUGAUCAUAAUGAAGAAACGUGUGAAUGGAGACGGUUGAUGGUUUUUUUUUUUUUUUUUUUUUUUUUUUUUUUUUUUACCUUUUGUGUAAACAGAUCUGUUUCAUAAUUUAUCGGAAAAUGAAUUAUACCAAAAAAAAAAUCGGAAAAGGAAAAUAUUUAUUAUAAUAUUGAUAUAUUUAAGAUGAUAAUGUCAAAUAUCUGAAAAUUAUUAAUCGGAGCAUUAAUAUAAACAUAAAAGAAUACUAUUCUAACCUUACUCAAAUUAAUAAGAUUUAGAUAUCCGAAAUUAAUCGUAAACGGCUAUUAAUUGUUAAACUAAUUAAAAUAAAGAUCAAACAUACCGGAAUAGAUGAAAUUUUUGGUAUGAUCGUCGUGUUCGUCGUCGUUUCAAUCUAAAUAUUUGGAAAAAAAAACUAAAAAAAUAAUAUGUAGAUCAAUGAAAGAGAACCCACCAAUUUAGAAACGGUUAUCACGCCAUCGUAUUGUUCGUCGGAUGAUUAUAAGUCUCUAAUCCGGAGAUUGACUUGAACCCUGACAAAAACAUAUAUUCAUAGCAUAAAAUCGUAAAUAGAAGGUAGAAGAUCACCUAUUAAUCGGUUGUAUUGGGCAAACUCGAUUUAAUUUUGACGAAUGAAAUGUUGGUGUGGUGUCAAAACUUUCUUGGGGAGACUCGAAGAUGAGAGAGCUGAAGUCAGAGAUAGGCAGAGAGGUUUACAUGUGAAUUAAGGUAUGGAGUGCUAACGUGAACAUGAACGUGAACAGCGGUGAUUUUUGCACAUAAUAGCAAUUAGAUCGAGUUUUGGAAAAAAAUAUGGAUCAGCGUGACAUGACGCAUAUGGAUACCAUGCAUGUCUAUCUAUUGUAAAUCAAAAAUUAUAUUAUUGUUCCGCCUUAUUUUUGAAACAGAAAGGAAUUUUCCCUUAAAUUUUAAUAUAUUUUAUAAGAUAGUAUCAGAUAUAGUAGUAAAUCUAAAAUAGUUGUUAUUAUUCCAUAUUUUUACGGAAAAAAGUAAAUAUUAUUUUAAAUAAACAUGGAUAACAAUGAAUAAAUGGCAGUUUUACAAAUAUUUAUUAUUAUGAUAGUGAUUUGCUUAUUAAAAUAUGUAAAUUUUCUUUUCUUUUUUUGUAUUUAUCGUCGAAAAAUUUAGAAACCCUAAAUCAUGCACCGCCUCCUAUUCAAUAUAAAUACCUUGCUCAUGGUAUUCAAUUUCAGAUCAUAACUAACCCUUGUUUUUUUGUUCUUUUUUUUCAAAUUUUUUUUUGCUUCUACCUAAUUUUAAUUUUUCUUUUUAUUGUAGGGUGGAUGUAUGAAGGGGACGAUGUGAACUGGUGUAUGGAAAAUUUGGACCUAAUUCAAUGAAUAAACAGGUGAUCUUAUAGUUUAUAUGUACAAAUUUGAUUUUUUUUUUUGUAUUUAUGGUUUCACUAUUUUCACCACUAAUCAAUUUUUAUAAUCAAAAAGUUUGGUUUCAACUUUUGAGAAGGUAAUCAUCGAUGGUUUGGUAUGUUUCUUUUUGUUGUAAAAAGAUGAGGUACCUCCCGAUUUUGUUGAGGUACAUGUUCUUAUUAUUUUCAAAUAUGUCUUUUUUCAGAAGAAACACUCAACUUUUGAUAACACAGUUGCCACAAAGUCAGAAAGAUGACUUAUUUCAGGGAUGAAUCUUCAGAGGAGGCUAAUUUUUGUCGUUAAUACAAUUUAAGUAUUCCUCUCUUUAGAUUAGGGAUAACAAACUUGCUGUUAAAUUCAGGAAUUACUCUUCGUUGCCAAUCUCUCUCCCCAAACUAAAAUAUUACAUAUAUGGAAGUAGUAACUUAAAGUUUUUGGUAUCGAGGUCAUUCUAAGGCACUGAGAUUCGGACUUUGGUAUGUAUAGGAUUCGUUUUCCAUGCACUAAGAUUUAAUUAUUGUUUAAUUUAUUGGUUUUUAGGUUUCUUUCCAUGCUCUGAUGCGUUUUCGGGUGUGCCAAUGGAAGCUUGCAUCACUCUUUACUCCAAGCGUAAGUAUGCUCUGCAUUAGCUUCUUCUGUUCCAUUGGUUAUUAUGGGUUUUGACUUUUGAGAAAUAUACAACAAUUUAAAACCAGGUUUUGUUGUUGAUUGGUUCGGUUUGUAUACCAUAUUUUGCUAAAUACAUAUGACCAUAAAUAAGACCAAAGGAGCUGGGUUAGCUCCUUUGCCAGCUAGGUUGACUUCGUCUCCUCCCCGUCUUGCGGAUUUCCGUUAUUCAACGGGUAUAUUUGAGAAGUAUACGGUACUAAAACCACAACCAUUGAUCUUAGCUUGACCGGUUCUUCCCUAGGAUUUAUACAUAAAAGUAAAUUGUUUUGUUUAAUAAUUUUCCAUUGCAUGAACUUUCGAGACAGCAAGUGGACAGGAGUGUAAUGUCAUCAAAAGUCAAAUCAAACACUGUGAGGAACAUAAUAGACAACGUUGGCUUCUUUCGCAGCUGCUCAACGUUGUCUCUCCCGAUGGUCCCAACACUCUCUUCUUCUUUUUUUGUCAACAUUCAAACGUUGUUUAAAAUAAAUAAAAAUGUUUAACUUUAAUCAUCUUUCUAGAUCUUUAAAUGCCUAAAACUUCAACUUAAUCAGUCAGCAAUCCGUCACGUUAAUGAUUUUGAAAGGAAGACUUUUGUUUUGUUUCAGUUAGUUUUGUUUGUUUAGUAUUUUAAUCACAAGAUAACUCUAAUUUUCCAUUAGAGUUGUGUUAAUUGUGUUGAUUAUGAUUUGGCGUUCCAAUUCUGAUAUUAUUUUUAUGUUGUAAAUCUUAAACUGUUACGUUAUUGUUCUAUCUUCCUAUGUGAGAAAAAAGUAAAAUGUUUUAAAAUUUUGACAUGGAUAAUAAUAUAAUUGUAAAUCUAUAAUAAUUAUAUUAUCAUUUUAUUUAUAUUUUUCAAAAAGAAAUAUAUUUAUCUUAAUAGAUUUAAUAUGAUAAUGUCAAAUAUAGUUAUAAAUCUAAAAGAGUUAUGUUAUUAUUCCAUCCUUUUAUGAGAAAAAAGCAGAUAUUCUCUUAAACUUUUAAAUUAACGUGGAUAAUAAUAAAUAAAUGAUAAUUUUACUAAUAUGAUAAUGAUUCGGUUUUAAUCUUACCAAAAAACAAAUAAUGAUUCUGUUUUAAAAAUAUAUAAAUUUUCUUUGUUUAGUUGUAGAUAUUGUCAUAUAAAAAAUUCUUAGAUCCUCCACUGUCUUAAUUUUAUGUAAAUACCUUGCUUGAUAUUUAAUUUUGAUUUGAUAUCAUAACUAAUCCUUGCUUUUUUUUCGGCACUAACCAUUGAAUUUUUUAUACUGCCAUUUAAUUCUUGCAUAAAAAUAAUAAUUAAUAGUAGUGUUUAUUAUGAAUGCAGGUUUGUUUUCCAUAAAAACUAGAUUGGAUUUAUGGAAGCACGUCAUUGUUUCCAGUGCGAAGAAACAAAUGUCGUAUCACUGCUGUUGUGGCUCUUUAGUACUUUCGUUUCUGUUUAUGGCUUUGCUUCGGUUGUAUGGUUAGUCAUCAAUCAUUGAUCUUCUCAUUGUUUGAAUAUUGUUGCAUAGGAAAAAUCUUCCUUUUUUAUGAAUCUUUCAAAAGUUGGGUUCAUGCUAUUCUCAGUGAUUGAUUACGUUUAUUGAAUAUUUGUAUGCUUCCUCUGCUGAUAUUCUAAUUCAUGCUUUAUUCGUCGUCUUUGAUACACUCUGAUUAACCAUUGUGGACCUCUAGAGUCUAAUUUGCAAUAUUAAUGCAAGUCUCUUUAACUUACGGAUUAUGAAGAGCAUCCUAAGAUCGUUUAAUUUGAUUCAGGCUUUAUGUGGCUAAUGUUUGGUCUUGGAUGUGAAUUAGUCUAUCAUGUUUCUUGGAAGGUAGGAAGCAAUCUUGAUGUUUACGAAAAUCCAAUGUGCUCUUUUGUAGCUCAGUUUUGAAAUAUGUACUAAUUAUUGUAGAGGGAACCCGAAACAAAGAGACCAUAUGUAUGAUUUUAUAUGCGAAGAGAAGCUCCGAAUUUGAAAUCGUCUCCACUCCGGUGAUAUGUGGCCAUGGUGUGAAGGAGUCUGGAGCCAUGGUUAUUUCAGAUUCGGACAUAACCGUAAUUGUUAAACUAAUAAAAAUAAGAUCAAACGUACCGGAUUGAUGAGAAUUUUUGGUGUUCUUCGUCAUGUUCUUCGUCGUAUGGAUCUAACAAAACAAAAAAUAUAUAUAUACCCCAGAAUUUUUUUUUGUUUGUUAAUAGAGAGAACCCACCAAUUUUGUAGCGUUGAUUGUGACAUCGAAUUGUUUGUCGGAUGAAUAUAAGUCUCUAAUCCGGAGACUGAAGUUGAACCCUAACAAAAACAUAUAUUCAUAGCAUAAAAUUCAUAAAUAAAAGGUAGAGCAUCACAUAGCUUUUUCUUCAAAGCCAACACAUCUCUCUUUGUAGCCGAAUUACUCUCCAGUUUGGUAUAUACUCAAAUUUUCCAAUGACUUCCUUCUCGAACCUGGAGCGUUUUUGCUUUGCCGGAUAUUUUUAGGAUAUGGCUCUUAUGUAUCUCUUGUGAGUCACUUGAUAUGUUGUUUAGGUAAAACUUUUGGUUUGAAAGAGAAUGAUCUACGACAAGCAUAAUCGGUUAUUUGUUAUAUAUGUGGCCAUGUUCAUAUUGCUUUCUCCACAAGCAAUUUUCCAGUUUUGUAGCAUUCGAUAUUUAAAUUUAAAAGCUUCAAUACGUUGUAUACAUGUGUAUGUAUGUACAUAUAUGAAUUAUUCUCAGUUGCACAUAGUGGUUUCUAAUGGAUAGAUACUUGCUCUCUGUAACCCUCUCAUUUUUAGUACCUAUCUUCAGUGUUUACUUUGCUAAGAGCUUCUUGAUAGGCAUACAUCUUUGCAAUCUCAGAUCAAUAUACUACAAAUACAUAUACGAUACAGUUAAGAAAAUGAUAUUUCUCUUACAACUUUUUAUAUAGGUUUUAUAAACAAGAGAUCAACUGAAGGGUUACGCAGCGACCAAUGGCGAAGGUAGAGACAAAGAUACUACAAUAGGGACGAUAAAUAUGACACGAUAUAUACAAAGGAGAUGCCUGUUUCUAUACCAUUGAAAUUUUACGUACAUAACUACUUCAAAGAGCAAGAUGACUUACUUGAUAGGUAAGAGAUAUGGUAAGAGAUUAUAUUUUUCAAUUAUUUGUUUCCAACUACGAAAAACUCCGUGACAUACAAUCUAAAAGCAUGAAUAUGUCAUAAAAUCAAGAAUACAACAAAAACCAGGAAGAUGGGCCCAAAUUAAAGUCCGAAACUGGACUUGGGGAACCCACGGACAGUGGCGGUCGGAACGUUACAAAUAUGAAAGAAACGAGGAAGCGUGAAUAUGUCAUAAAACCAAGAGUACUACAAAACCAAGAAGAUGUGCUCAAAGAACGAAACUGGACGUGGGAACCCACAGACAGUGGCGGUCGUGGCAUUACAAAUAUGAAAGAAACGAGUAAGCAUGAAUAUGUCAUAAAAUCAAGAGUACGACAAAACAAAGAAGAUGAGCCUAAAGACCGAAACUGGACGUGGGGAGCCCACAGACAGUGGCGGUCGGGGCGUUGCUAAUAUGAAAGAAACGAAUAAGCAUGAAUAUGUCAUAAAAUCAAGAGUACGACAAAACAAAGAAGAUGGGCCUAAAGACCGAGACUGGACGUGGGAACCCAUAGACAGUGGCGGUCGGGGCGUUGCUAAUAUAUUGUUGGUUUAAAUAUAUAGAUUUUUUAUAUUUAAUUCUAUUAUAUAUAUCAAGAUAUAAACACUAAUAAUUGUUUGUGAUUCAAAAACACUAUUAAUUGUUGAUUACUAAUAAUAUAUAUCAAAAGUUAUAGCGUUUUACCAUAAUUCUAUAUUAAUGUCGUUAUAAAAAUUAGACUCUUGACAAAAUUAAUUCAAUAAAUAUCCCUAACUUGAUAACCCUAAAUAUUAAUUAUUAAUUCUGGUAUUAAUUAACAUACAACCCCGCGUUGGGCGCGGGGACCUCCCCUAGUACAUUGUUGAAUAGCUAUACAUUUUUUUAUAAUAACUAGGUGAGUACCCACGCUACGCGUGAGAUUUGUUUUAAAAAUAAGUUAAAAAAAAAUAUGUUGAUUUUUUUUUAUAGUUUUGUUCAUUUUAUUGUGUUACACGAUUUGCAUUAUCAAAUUGCCUUAGUAUACCAUAUCUUGAUAUUAAACUUGUGAUGUUGGUUAAACUUCUUACUAAUUUCUUUCGUCUUCUGUCAAACCAAUUUAGCUUGUCCAUUGCCUACGUUUUCUAAUUUCAAAUUUAGACAACAUAUUUCACUUUGUUUAUGUUUUUUCUAUAGACAAUGAAACAUAAGGAAAUGACCAGAUCAUGAAUGGAUUAGUUGCAUAGAAGAUGGAACAAAAUUCCAUUAUGCAAUCUCUCUUUUGUGUUUCGGUUACAUUUAAAUGAGAACGAUUUAUCCAUAUAUUUUGUUUUGAUUUUUGGGUUUCACAUAUAUUAUUAGGAAAAAAGUUAAGAUAUCAGAUAAAGAGAACAUGUGACUAAUUCAUAAACUUCAUUAGAAUAUGCAUCUCACAUAGCCUAUCAAUGGCACGGCUUAAACUCUUCAAAAUUGGUACUCUUCUCUUGCAUUAUAUUGGGAACCGUAACAAAAGCUCAAACAUUCAACUAUGGAGGUCAUGCUAAGAACACCUCCAUCAAUUAGAAGAAACUCGGGAGUAUAUUAUCAAUAAAAUACUAAAAAAAAAUCUAUAUAUAAUAGCAAUCUCAAUAAAUGUCUUUUGUACGUCUGAACGGUUGCCUCUUUUUAUCGUAACUUCUCGUUAAAAUAUUAACGGUUAUUUUUUGGGUGUCUUUUUUAUUUCAACUCUUCGUUAAAAUAUUGACGGUUACUUUAUUGUUGACGGUUAUUUUUUGGUUAUGUAUUUUUUUGCAACUUUCCGUUAAAAUAUUAGAGGUUACUUUUUUUCGUUUGUGUUUUUUUAUCGCUACUUUCCUUUAAAAUACUAACGAUUAUUUUUUCUCGGUUGUGUCUUUUUAUUGCAACUUUUCGUUAAAAUAUUGAUGGUUAUUUUUUCUCGGUUGUGUCUUUUUAUCGCAACUCUUCGUUAAAAUAUUGAUGGUUAUUUUUUCGUUGACGGUUAUUUUUUCGGUUGUGUCUUUUUAUCGCAACUUUCUGUUAAAAUAUUGACGGUUACUUUUUCUGUUUCUGUCUUUUUAUCGCUGCUUUCCGUUAAAAUAUUUACAGUAAUUUUUUCUCGGUUGUGUCUGUUUUUCGUAACUUUCUGUUAAAAUAUUGUCGGUUAUUAGUUAUCGGUUGUGACAUUUUAUCGCAACUUUCUGUUAAAAUAUUGACAGUUAUUUUUCCUCGGUGGUAUCUUUUUAUUGUAAAUCUUCGUUAGAAUAUUGACGGUUAUUUUUUUUGAUGACAUUUAUUUUUUCGGUUGUCUUUUUAUCGUAACUUUACGUUAAAAUAUUGACGGUUACCUUUUUCGUUUGUUUUUUUUGUUAUCGCCACUUUCCGUUAAAAUAUCGAUGGAUUUUUUGUCAGUUGUGUCUUUCUAUCGUAACUUUUCGUUAAAAUAUUGACGGUUAUUUUUUCUCGGUUGUAUUUUUUUAUCGCAACUUUCCGUUAAAUAUUGACGGUUAAUAUUUUCAUUGACGGUCUUUUUAUCGCAACUUUCCGUUAAAAUAUUGACUUUUAUUUUUUCGCCUUGUCUCUUUUUAUCGCAACUUUCCCGUUGAAUAUUGAAGGUUAUUUUUUUUCGGUUGUGUCUUNNNNNNNNNNNNNNNNNNNNNNNNNNNNNNNNNNNNNNNNNNNNNNNNNNNNNNNNNNNNNNNNNNNNNNNNNNNNNNNNNNNNNNNNNNNNNNNNNNNNNNNNNNNNNNNNNNNNNNNNNNNNNNNNNNNNNNNNNNNNNNNNNNNNNNNNNNNNNNNNNNNNNNNNNNNNNNNNNNNNNNNNNNNNNNNNNNNNNNNNNNNNNNNNNGAACUCAAGGUAGCCCGCGACGGCGGAGUUGCAGCGAAGGUUCAUAAGUUAGGCUACAUCCGGCUCUAAAGAGUUCUCUGGAUGUGUUUGAGGCCGUGAGUGGCUUGCCACCCGACCGGUUUGAUCCAUUCACCAUUGAACUCGAAGCGGGAACAACUCCUAUAUCUAAAGCUCCAUACCGGAUGGCACCGGCAGAAAUGGCGGAGCUAAAGAAACAAUUGGAGGAGUUGUUGGAUAAAGGAUUUAUUAGACCAAGUAGUUCACCAUGGGGUGCACCGGUCUUGUUUGUAAAGAAAAAGGAUGGUAGCUUUAGGCUAUGCAUUGACUAUCGGGGAUUGAAUAAAGUUACGAUUAAGAACAAAUAUCCAUUACCCCGGAUAGAUGAGCUGUUGGACCAACUCGGAGGCGCUAGGUGGUUCUCAAAGAUAGACUUGGCGUCGGGAUACCAUAAAAUUCCGAUAGAACCAUCUGAUAUUCGGAAGACGGCCUUCCGGACGAGAUAUGGCCACUAUGAGUUCGUAGUGAUGCCAUUCGGACUAACCAAUGCACCGGCAGCCUUUAUGAAGAUGAUGAAUAGUGUUUUCCGAGAAUUCUUAGAUGAGUUUGUGAUCAUCUUCAUCGAUGACAUACUUGUCUAUUCCAAGGAUUGGAAAACUCAUCAAAAUCAUCUAAGGGCGGUGCUAGAACGGUUAAGGGAACAGAAGUUAUUUGCAAAGUUAAGCAAAUGCUCAUUUUGGCAAAGGAGUAUCGGAUUCCUCGGACACAUAGUAUCGGAACAAGGAGUGUCCGUAGAUCCGGAGAAAAUCAAAUCCAUCAAGGAUUGGCCACGGCCAAGGAAUGCCACGGAGAUUAGGAGUUUCUCGGGUUGGCGGGAUAUUACCGAAGGUUCGUAAAAGGCUUUGCGAGUAUGUCCCAACCGAUGACUCGACUAACCGGGAAAGAUACUAAGUUUCAAUGGUCGGAGGAAUGUGAGAAGAGUUUCUCCGAGUUGAAGGCUAUGCUAACAAGCGCUCCGGUAUUGGUAUUGCCGGAAGAAGGUGAACCUUACAUGGUCUAUACGGAUGCAUCGAUCACGGGACUAGGAUGCGUAUUGAUGCAAAAGGGUAGUGUAAUCGCUUAUGCUUCAAGGCAAUUGCGUAAACACGAAGGGAAUUACCCUACGCAUGACUUGGAGAUGGCCGCGGUGGUGUUUGCCUUGAAGAUUUGGCGAUCAUAUCUUUAUGGAGCCAAAGUCCAAAUCUUCACGGACCACAAAAGUCUUAAGUACAUAUUCACCCAGCCGGAGUUGAAUCUAAGGCAAAGAAGGUGGAUGGAAUUUGUGGCGGAUUACGACUUAGAUAUUGCCUAUCAUCCGGGAAAGGCAAAUCAAGUCGCCGAUGCCUUAAGUAGGAGACGUUUCGACGUAGAAGCGGAGAAAAACCAAGUGGACUUGGUUAACAUGAUGGGGACAUUGCAUGUGAAUGCGUUAUCCAAGGAUCUUGAACCAUUGGGUUUAGGUGCGGCUGAUCAAGCCGAUCUACUUAGUAGAAUUCGUUUGGCCCAAGAGAAGGACGCGGAGUUGAAAACUUGGGCAAAGAACAAUAAAACGGAGUACCAAACAUCGAACAAUGGUACCAUAGUGGUGAACGGUCGUGUAUGUGUGCCGAAUGACAAAGGUUUGAAGGGGGAAAUCCUUAAAGAAGCGCACCAAUCAAAGUUCUCGAUUCACCCCGGGUCCAAUAAGAUGUACCGAGACCUAAAAAGGUAUUACCAUUGGGUGGGAAUGAAGAAGGAUGUAGCCGAAUGGGUUGCCAAGUGUUCGACGUGCCAACUUGUCAAGGCGGAACAUCAAGUACCAAGUGGGUUAGUACAAAACUUACCCAUGCCCGAAUGGAAAUGGGACCAUGUAACGAUGGACUUUGUUACCGGGUUGCCUACGGGGAUAAAGUCUAAGCACAAUGCGGUUUGGGUGGUGGUGGACAAAUUGACUAAGUCCGCACACUUCAUAGCAAUUUCCGAAACGGAUGGAGCCGAAGAUAUAGCCGCAAGGUAUAUCGAGGAGAUAGUACGAUUACACGGAGUGCCGGUAGGCAUUGUGUCGGAUCGUGAUACACGGUUCACAUCGCAUUUCUGGAAGGCUUUUCAAAAAGCCUUAGGAACGAGGGUGAACUUAAGUACUGCUUACCACCCGCAAACGGAUGGGCAAUCUGAACGGACGAUUCAAACCCUUGAGGACAUGUUGCGUGCAUGUGUCUUAGAUUGGGGUGAGAAUUGGGAGAAGUACUUAAGGUUGGUGGAAUUUGCCUAUAACAAUAGCUAUCAAGCUAGUAUUGGUAUGUCACCUUACGAGGCGUUAUACGGACGGGCAUGUCGGACACCGCUAUGUUGGACACCAGUAGGCGAACGCAUGUUGUUCGGUCCGAAGAUUAUGGAUGAAACCACCGAAAAGAUGAAGUUCCUAAAGAUCAAACUAAAGGAAGCACAAGAUCGACAGAAAAGCUAUGCGGAUAAGCGUCGUAAGGAGUUGGAAUUCCAAGUAGGAGACUUGGUGUAUCUUAAGGCCGUAACGUAUAAGGGCAAGGGACGAUUUUCAACAAGGAAAAAGUUGAGUCCAAGGUACGUUGGCCCAUACAAGGUGAUCGAACGAGUAGGGGCUGUGGCCUACAAACUCAAACUUCCGCCGAAGUUAGAUGCGUUUCACAAGGUUUUCCACGUAUCACAACUAAGGAAAUGCCUAAGUGAACACGAGGAGCGAGUAGAAGAUGUUCCUUCGGAGUUAAAAGAAAACUUAACGGUGGAAGCAAAUCCAAUUCGGAUCAUUGAUCGAAUGGAAAAGGGGACAAGGCGGAAAAAGAUAAACAUGAUAAAAGUGUUAUGGGAUUGUGGAGGCCGCGAAGAAACUACUUGGGAAACCGAAAAUAAAAUGAUGGCUGAUUUUCCUAAGUGGUUUAGAGAGAUGGGUAAAGAUCAACUUGAGUCGGAUUCGGGGACGAAUCCCAUUCAAGGGGGGGAGACUUGUAACGCCCGCGAUCCUCAAUAGGAUCGUCGGAUGAGACUUGGUCCGAGAAAAGGAGGAGAAACUCGGACAAGUCUAGAUUGGAGCUGCCCAUCAGCUCGGAUAAAGAGAAUAAUGAACGUUAAGUAGCCAAACCAGCUCCCGUAUAGCUCAACUAAGCUCGAAGUACUUCCGGGUAGCUUAGCUAAGCUCGGGUAACUAUCGGGUAGCUCAGCUAGCUCGACCAGCUGCCGGAUAGCUCAGCUAAGCUUGGGUAACUGUCCGACGGUUGGACGGUUAGGCGGUUACGGAAGGACGGUUGGGCGGUUACGGAGGAGCGGUUAGGCGGUUACGGAUGACGGUUACCAACGGGCGGUUAUGGACCGAAUGGGCGCCUUCUAGAGAACGGUUAGAGAAACGGUUUCUGAACGAAACUCUAUAAAUACAAGGCGUUUGGGACGAUUUCAGACACGGAAAAACUGAGGGAAAAAUACAGAAACUCUCGGAGAACAUUUUGAGAGAAAACACUUAAGAGAGAGUUACGAUCGGUGCGAUCGAAGGUGAGACGGUUCUAGACUUUGUGUCCGAACCUAAGGAGAUAUGAUACGUACGAUCUAGCCUAGGGAUUGUUCCGAUGACUUAGAAGAAGUCCGGAACGAUUAGGGUGAUAUUGUAGUAUCGGGGAAUCAUUCAUAUCAUGCAUAAACUUGGUUCGAAUGGCGGAUCGGUUGAAAUGGGGAUGCGGCUCGGCGGAGGAUCGGCGGAUCUGUGAAGAUCUACCGUGAAUCGGCCGAACUGAUGCGCAUACUUCCACUCUCCGAUCUGUUCUUCGUUCCGGGUGGUUAAAAGGCCUAGAGAGCAUUGCAUGGACUUGCAUAUAAUAAGUAAAACGGAUACUUAUGCCUCUUUGACUUUCAGGAAAGGAUGGUGAUCGUGGGAAGGACUUGGCUUAGGCGUGAGAGACUCAAGGCCGGGAAGAUGGGUGGUGAUGAAUCGGGUAGAAUAGGAUCGAUUAUAUGACUUGUAAUAGCUUAUAUGCAAACUCAUAAGUUGUAUCGAAUCCUUUUAAGUAUCUAAUAAAGUAUCCGAUUCUUUGUUUACUCUAUUAUCGCAUAUUGACUCUAAGUAUUGAAUCUCAGAAUAUCGUAAAUCGGAUUGUCUUAAGGAAAAUGGCCCUAAAAUUUGACUAAGGAUCGGAUCACUUAAUGAUUUGGUCAGAGAGAACCUCUCCGNNNNNNNNNNNNNNNNNNNNNNNNNNNNNNNNNNNNNNNNNNNNNNNNNNNNNNNNNNNNNNNNNNNNNNNNNNNNNNNNNNNNNNNNNNNNNNNNNNNNNNNNNNNNNNNNNNNNNNNNNNNNNNNNNNNNNNNNGAGGCCGAUGAGUUAAUGAUGCAUGAAGUGGUUUAUCUCAAUGAAAUCAAGGUCAAACCAAACAGUUUUGAAUCCAAUCUUGACACUGAGAAUGUGUGGUAUCUUGAUAAUGGUGCAAGUAACCAUAUGAGUGGAAAUCGAAGCUUCUUUAUGAGUCUUGAUGAGACAAUUGUGGGAAAAGUAAAAUUUGGAGACGACUCCCGUAUUGAUAUAAAGGGCAAAGGAUCAGUUAAGUUUGUGUUUCGGGAUGGUGAGAAGAAAGUCUUGAAGAUUUUGAAGAACGUAUACUAUAUACCGGAUUUAAAGUCAAAUAUUUUGAGCCUUGGUCAAGCCACAGAAGGAGGAUGUGAAGUUCGUAUGAAAGGAGAUCUUUUGAUGCUUUAUGAUCGACUUGGUCAGUUACUAGUCAAAACAGCAAGGUCUCCUAAUCGGUUGUACAAAGUAGCGUUGGAAGUUGAUGUCGUAUUGUGUCUACAAGUGAUCUCAUCAUCGAAAUCAAACAAGUGGCAUUCACGCUUGGGACAUGCUAACUUGGACACAAUAAAGACAAUGGUCAAUGAGGAUUUAGUGUCUGGUGUACCAAGAUUUGUAGUUGAAAAAGAAACAUGUGUAUCAUGUCUUCUGGGAAAACAAACAAGACAGCCCUUUCCACAAGCAACAAGUUUUCGAGCCACACAACCUCUUGAGCUUAUUCAUGGAGAUCUCUGUGGACCUAUUACACCCUCGACUGCGGGCCAAAAGAGGUAUGUAUUUGUGAUCAUUGAUGACUAUUCACGCUAUAUGUGGACUGUGUUGUUGAGAGAAAAGCGUGAAGCUUUUGAGAAGUUUAAAAACUUCAAAAUACUUGCUGAACAAGAAACAAGAAACACGAUCAAGACGUUCCGAACUGACAGAGGUGGUGAGUUUGUGUCCAAAGAGUUUCAAGAUUAUUGUGACAAGUAUGGCAUUAAAAGACAUCUAACCGCACCGUAUUCACCGCAACAAAACGGAGUUGUUGAAAGACGUAACCGCACACUCUUGGAGAUGACUAGAAGUAUUUUGAAGCAUAUGAGUGUUCCAAAUUAUUUAUGGGGAGAAGCUGUAAGGCAUGCUACUUAUUUGAUCAAUAGAAUUGCAACAAGAUCCCUAGUCAAAUCAACUCCAUACGAAGUCUUUAAAGGGAGAAAGCCAGAUCUUGCGCAUCUUAGAGUGUUUGGUUGUAUUGGGUAUGCAAGAACAGAAGCUGUUGGAAGAAAGAAACUAGAUGAUAGAUCAAAAGCUUUAAUUUAUCUCGGAAGAGAGCCUGGAUCAAAGGCAUAUCGUUUACUCGAUCCUACAACCAAGAGAAUAACAGUGAGUCGGGAUGUUGUAUUUGAUGAGAGUAAAGGUUGGAGUUGGAACAAAGAAGCUCAAAGUAAUUCCGGAUCUUUUAUUAUUGAGCUAGGCGAGUUUGGUAAUAAGGGUAUAAGAGAAAUCAUUGAUAUACCCGAAACAGAGGAAGAAAUUGAAACAGAGGAGAACCCACAUGAUACUCAAGUUGUGAAUGAGGACGUGUUGAAUGAAGAUCAGGAAGAGAACGAAGAGAACAACGGUGAUAAUGAACUCAACGAUGAUGAUGAGCUAGAACAGCCACAACCGUUGUUAAGGAGAUCCAAAAGACCGAGAGUGCAACCAAAAUAUCUAAGUGAUUAUAUUCUCAUGGCAGAGGCAGAGUGUGAAAGGCUUCUAACGGUGAUAAAUGAGGAGCCAUGGGACUAUAAUGAAGCAAAAGAAUCGAAAGUGUGGAUAGAAGCAUGCAUGGAAGAGAUUUCUUCGAUAGAGAAAAAUAAAACGUGGAAUUUGGUUGAACUUCCCAUUGGAGUGAAACCAAUUGGCCUAAAGUGGGUGUUUAAAAUCAAAAGAAACUCUGAUGGAAGCAUUAACAAGCACAAAGCUCGCUUAGUGGCUAAAGGAUAUGUUCAAAGACACGGUAUUGACUUCGAUGAAGUGUUUGCUCCGGUGGCACGUAUUGAAACUAUUCGGUUUAUUAUUGCUUUAGCAGCUUCAAAAGGCUGGGAAAUACAUCACUUGGAUGUUAAGACCGCCUUUCUCCAUGGAGAAUUGAAAGAAGAAGUUUAUGUUCAACAGCCCGAAGGAUUUGUGGUAGAAGGAAGUGAAGAAAAAGUUUACAAGUUGAGUAAAGCUCUCUAUGGCUUGAGACAAGCACCUAGAGCUUGGAAUGACAAGUUAAACAAGAUUCUUAGGGAAUUAAAUUUUGAGAGGUGCUCAAAGGAGCCAUCGUUGUAUCAAAAGAAAGAGAAAGGACAUCUACUUGCGGUUGCGGUUUACGUUGAUGAUUUACUUGUUACGGGAUCUUGUAUGAAGGCAAUUCUGGUUUUUAAAGAGGAGAUGGCAACCAAGUUUGAGAUGAGUGAUCUUGGAAGACUAACUUAUUAUCUUGGAAUAGAAGUGCAUCAACAUGAAGGAGGGAUAAGUUUAAAACAAGAAAGAUACGCUCAAAAGAUUUUAAGAGAAACGGGUAUGGACGAUUGCAAUCUUUCUCAUAUUCCUAUGAAUUUAAACUUGCAGUUGUCAAAGUCUAAAAACGAGAAGACAAUCGAAGAAAAGGAAUUUAGAAGAAGCAUUGGAUGUCUACGUUAUCUAAUUCAUACACGACCGGACUUGUCUUAUAGUGUUGGAGUUUUAAGUAGAUACAUGCAAGAUCCUAAAGAAUCUCAUGGAGCAGCCUUGAAGCAAGUGUUGAGAUAUCUACGGGGAACUGUCUCUCUUGGUCUCUUGUUUAAACGUUCGGAGAAGAUGAAGUUGGUGGGUUACAGUGAUAGCUCACAUAACGUUGACGUAGACGAUGGUAAGAGCACGUGUGGUCAUAUUUUCUAUCUUGAUAAUUGUCCAAUUACUUGGUGUUCACAAAAGCAAGAAACGGUGGCAUUAUCUUCUUGUGAAGCCGAAUUCAUGGCUGCUACGGAGGCGGCUAAACAAUCAAUUUGGCUUCAAGAACUUCUAAGUGAGAUCAUCGGAAAAGGCUGUGAAAAGGUGACAAUACGGAUUGACAAUAAAUCUGCGAUUGCACUAACUAAGAACCCGGUGUUUCAUGGACGUAGUAAACAUAUACAUAGAAGAUAUCAUUUCAUACGUGAAUGCGUCGAGAAUGAACAAGUAGAAGUAGAGCAUGUUCCCGGUGAAGAACAAAAGGCGGAUAUCUUGACAAAAGCACUUGGAAGGAUCAAGUUUAAAGAGAUGAGAGAUCUCAUUGGAGUUCAAGAUGUGAGAGAAGAUAACUUCAAGCUUAAGGGGGAGAAUGUUGGCCUAAGCUUGAAGUUACUUGAACAAUAAGUUAUCUUUGAGAGAGAUUAGGAAAAGUACUAUUUAGGAGUUAUCUAAAUAUGUAAGUUUUACUUUUGAGAAUUGGAAAACUCUUCUCUAUAUAAGAAGAUGCUAAGGUGUAGCAUAACUUAUGAGUUUUGAGAAUAGAGAUUGAGUGCUUAGGUUUUGAGUUAUUUUCCUAAGUGAUUAAUAAAGAGAGUUAUUCUUUGUUGAUCUUUGUGUUCUUAAAGCUUUUGCCAAACUAGACUCUUGUCUUCCUCGACCUUCUCUGAAGAAAUCAGGAUCAGCCUCCUACGUUCCCGGCCUAUGAUAUCUCCCCUCUGGUGAUUAGCUUGAAGAAUCUGAAUCGAUCCACCAUUGGUAAAUCUACAAUAUGGUGGUUUCGCUCAAUUGAGGUAAGGAAAGAGGUGUAUAUCACAUCCGCAUCUUCCGCUCUGUGGGGAGUUUAUGAUUUGAUUUGAGCUAUGGGCAGAUAUUCGCGCAGGUAAUCAGAUCCGCCAUCAUCUUCAUUGGUAGGUCAGAUGGUUAAAAGAUCCAAAACACAUAGGCGCCUAGCAGUGGCGCAAUAACCCUUUCAGGGAUAGCCUCAGCAAAAAAAAAGCAUAGGGCUAGUAAGUGCUGAAUUUAUACAUGGGUCUCGUGUUGUUGUCUUUGUCGCUGCGUUGUUAUGUUAUCGUCCCUUUGACAGAAAAUUAAUGGUUUCGGGAAGCUGACGGGCAAGAAGAGAAGAAGAUGUAAACCUCCAUUGAAACCAUGGAUUUCAAAGUUGAAACCCUAGCGUCAAAAUAUAGUGCAAUAGAGGAUAUUUAAACCAAAAUUACUAAAAUCAAUAAUGGAAAUCUGCUUUGGCAAAAAUUUAUACCGUUAAAAUUGGGAAACAAGGCUACCAAGUCGCCGACGUUACGGUUACACCGAUUUCAACCAAACCCCAAGCUUCCUGCUCUUAGUUUCUGUUCUCCACGUUCAUAGAACAUGUUCUUCUUCACCCGAAUUGUAGGUUUAGUGAGAAACUAAGUGGAUUGUACUUUCUUUGAAGGAUAAGAGAAGAAUCACAAAGAAGCGAAAAAGAGGAAGAUGGAGAGAGAUAGAGAUACCGUAUCUUUAUGGCUUAUAAUUAUUGAAAUCUUAUUGUGGUCAGAAGAGCAUAUGAAACGUUUUGAUUAACAGUGGAAUAGAUGGGGACGCUUCAGUUGCUCUUUCGAAGUGAUUCUGAAACGUUUGUAAACGGUAUUGAAAGUUGGAGAUCGUAGGUGGCUGCUAUAUUAAUUGGCUAAAAGAGUUAAGCUGCUGAAAGUGGAAACUAUUAUGUACACAUGUCAAGCAUUUACGCGCAGACGUGUCACUCUACGGGAGAGAGUCACCUCCUUUUAUAUAUAUGAUUUUUCAUCGCUAAAACUAUAAAUUUAUUGCUAUAUUAGUCUUGAUGUCCAUAUGAUAUCGACACAUAUAGCCGACUUGCAAAAAAAAUCACCUACUAUCCAAUUCUAUUAUGCGAAGAACUUUGUCCUGAACUUCAAUCAACGAAGGUCAAUCAGUUGGAUUUGGAGAAAUAUAUAAUUCUCUUUCGCCUCCUUCAAUUUAAGUAAUGAAACUCUCCAUGGCAGAUUCAAAAUGAUGCCAAAGUUCAAAAACAGACGAUACCAAAGCUAUAUAUGUCAACCUGCAGUUCGAAAAGAUGUUUUUGCAUAGCAUUUCAUAAGCGAAACCACCUUAUACCAUAUCAUCAUGUCUCUAUAUAUGCACAUUCAAAACUAGAAAAGGAAAAAAAAAACAUACAUACCAAUGAAUUGUAACUCGUCAGAUUCAGCGAGAUAUCGUGAUGUGAAUGAUGCAUUACGUUUAGAAGAUCGACAAAGUUUCCUUGACCAGCUUCCUAUAUAUUCCUCAUUAGAACUGGUCUUUGGCAUAAGCCAUACAAACAGCUAGUCAUUUUUAAAAAUAUAAAAUUAUUUUGUAAAAUAUUUGUAGCUUGGUGUGUACAUUUGUACACUCCAUUUGUUUAUUAUUUCUUUUUUUUUUGUCGUUUAAUGAACAUUUCUCUAGUUUUUUUUUAACGUAAUUUUUUGUGACGGAACUACAAUGUUUUGUAGGUUUAUAAAGUAAUUAAACAAAAAUAAACUUACAAAUGUAGGUUUUAUAAAACCCAUUAUUACAUUACAAAAAGAAUAGGAAAGAUUGCACUUAUUAGAUUUUCAAAUCAAUGAUUAUUAACACUAUUUCAACUGAUAUGAAAAAGACCUACCAUGGAAAACAGCUUUUUAAAAAGAAAAUCCGACGACAAUGUGGGUAAUUAUCUUGAUUUCUUAGGGAAAUAGAGAAUGGAUUAAGAUUAAUUGGAGUCGUGUCAAGCAGCUCGUUAAUAACUGUAGCAAGUUGACUGAGUAAGCAUCAACGUGUCAUCUCCACAAAGCCCAUUAUUUCUAGUCUCGCCGCGUCUUCUCUUCCACGUAGCACUUCACUUUUUUCUCCUUUUGUUUCUUUUGAACCCAAACGUUUCUAUUUAUAGGAAUUAAUUAAAGUCGUCCGUAUCUGUGUCGGAACAUAGAACCAAAAUAGAAGCAACAGCGUUCGUUCUUUUAAAAAAUGGCGUCAAAGCAACUUAGCCGAGAAGAGCUCGAUGAGAAGGCGAAGCAAGGAGAGACCGUCGUCCAAGGUGGCACCGGCGGCCACAGCCUCGAAGCCCAAGAGCAUCUUGCUGAAGGUAUUGCCUUAAAUUUCAACUUUUCGACACUCUUUUUUUAUUUUCUUUAACUUGUAACUAAUGGUUAUAUAAGGCUAGAAACAUUAGAUAUUAAUCUUAAUAUAAGAUUAUAAUCUAUGUAUUAUACGCGACUAUAACGUAAAGUUUACUCUUAAGACCUCCAUGUUUCAUGGAACACAUGUGUUAACACUUGGUAGGAAGGAGCAAAGGAGGAGAGACGAGGAAAGAGCAGCUAGGGCACGAGGGUUAUCAGGAGAUGGGAUAUAAAGGAGGAGAGACGAGGAAAGAGCAGCUAGGGCACGAGGGUUAUCAGGAGAUGGGACAUAAAGGAGGAGAGACGAGGAAGGAGCAGCUAGGGCACGAGGGUUACCAAGAGAUGGGACAUAAAGGAGGAGAAGCGAGGAAGGAGCAGCUAGGGCAGGAGGGUUACCAAGAGAUGGGACAUAAAGGAGGAGAAGCGAGGAAGGAGCAGUUAGGGCACGAGGGUUAUCAGGAAAUGGGACAUAAAGGUGGAGAGACGAGGAAGGAGCAGUUAGGGCACGAGGGCUAUCAGGAGAUGGGACGUAAAGGAGGAGAGGCGAGAAAGGAGCAGCUAGGUCACGAGGGUUAUCAGGAGAUGGGGCGCAAAGGAGGACUCAGUACAAUGGAAAAAUCUGGUGGAGAGCGUGCCGAGGAAGAAGGGAUUGAGAUCGACGAGUCCAAGUUCACCAACAAGUGAUAGUAGCUACUAGCUUGUAGUGUCCGCUGCUACAAUCCGUAGUAGAUAAUCUGAAUAAGUAACCUUGUAAGUUAUGUGGUUGGCAGCGUGGGUUUUAACUAGGGUUUGAAUGUAGUGCGUUUGGUUUUUUUUUUGUGUUUUAUGUGUGAUAUAACUACGCACGGCUUCUACUAACGGCAGGAUUGUACCGCUCGGAAGGUUUUUUGAGUGUUUGGUGAGGGUGCAAUCAAAUGAUAUGUGUAUGUUUUGAAAUGUGGUUUUACUCGGUGUUCUACUUAUUAUUAUGUUUUGAAAUGUGGUUUUACUCGGUGUUCUACUUAUUAUUAUUAUAAUUAUUGGUUCAACAACGAGAGCCUUGAUAUGGUGAGAUUGCAUAUCAAAUGGGUGUGAGCUGAUCAAGUGGAACAUUAUAACUUUCCAACAUUCACUAUAUGUAUGUCAAGUCUAUUCUUUAAGGUAAUUGUCCUCCUCCACAAAUCGUGACAUGCAGAUUCAAACACACAUAAUUCUCUUUAACGGUAAAUUCUUCGAACUUCUACAUUUUUUGCUCCACUUUAGUAACUUCUUUUUUUAAUUACUCCUAUAGAAGCCAGUCAAAAUGAUAUACUUUUUUACUACUCACAAAGCUGUGGAAUCAAAUGUUUCCUUGUUUUUUUAUUAUUUUUUGCCAAGGUUCAUUCUCUAGGUCCUUAUUGUAACACCUAAACUUUUCAUCUAAUGAUAUUAACUUUCUUAUUAGCAAAAAAAAAGCUGUGGAAUCAAAAGAUACAGUAAUGUAGUAAUAACACAGUUUCAGGUUGUUAAAAACAAUGACAUAUGUACGUAUAGUAUAGUUUUGAAAAGAAAAAAAAGUAUACUCUAGUUUUUGUAGUUUUCUCAAGAUACACAUGUGAAAUGUACGAUAUUAGUUGGGUUCUUCUUAACCGUACUAGUUGUUAGAAUAUAGAAAGUGAGGAAGUAUCAAUUUUUAUUAUUACUGUUUUUAUGUGGUUUAUGUUUAGAAUCAACACAAAAAAUGCUGAAAAUAGUUAAAACACUAUAGAAAACAAAAACGAUUCUGAACGCAGAUUUAAGUGACAGAAUAAUAUGCCUGUCUUAUUUCGAGAGACAUUAGUAUAGUAACCACAGAAAGUGUAGACUAACAAAACCCCAAUCAAUUACAGUUUCUCAGCCGUUCGGCUAAAUUGAUACAACAAGAGUUGUCUCUAGUGGAUGGUACAUAUAUUUUACAAUAUCUUAAACUAGUUGAUGCCAUCACUUG
Molecule: long non-coding RNA, 56305 nt
Filed under: Arabidopsis lyrata
Lineage: Eukaryota; Viridiplantae; Streptophyta; Magnoliopsida; Brassicales; Brassicaceae
Description: long non-coding RNA (ALYR_LNC001790)
Source: RNAcentral